Molecule: long non-coding RNA, 47743 nt
Filed under: Volvox carteri
Lineage: Eukaryota; Viridiplantae; Chlorophyta; Chlorophyceae; Chlamydomonadales; Volvocaceae
Description: long non-coding RNA (VCAR_LNC002101)
Source: RNAcentral
AAUAUUGGAGGGGAUGGCGGCGAAGGCGGUGGAGACCGGGGCGGUGGCGGUGAAGGCGGCGGCGGCGAAGGCGGUGGAGACCGGGGCGGCGGUGGUGAAGGGGGCGGCGGCGAAGGUGGUGGCGACCGGGGCGGUGGCGGCAACGGCGAAGGUGGUGGAGACCGGGGCGGCGGCGGUGGAGGCAAUGGAGACCCGACGCAUGUUCCACACGUCUUGCGGCACCAGUAGUCAACUAUGGACUGGUCUCUAGCGAAGUACACGGGGGCACAGUAGCCGCUGGCUUUCCAGGUGGCACAGGAGCUCGCCAGUGGCUCCCGAUCAGCGCAGCUGUGAAUGUACAUGUGCACGUGUGUGUUGCGCCGCGGUCACACACAUACAAUGGUACGUUAGUUUGCAAGCAGCCGCAUGUAAUAAGGCAGCAAAUAAAACAAGCGAAGCAGUGGUAGGUAUUGAAACCCCAAGUAGCCCCGACUGCAGAAGUAAUGGUGAUAAGCCCACACACACUGCCGGUGCUAACGACAUGAAAGCUAGCGCAAACACAACAACAUCUUUGCUUGUCAUGCUUCAAGCCCCCCACAUAUGCACACUUCGCAUGCAGGCAUGGAUACACACAGAAAACGGUGAAGGCGCUAGCAUUGCAAUCAUGUACGACGGUUCCAGGUAUCUGGGCUAGAGGGCACAUGCCCCCAUACAGCUAAAUGGGACUCGAUGGUGCGUCUGUGCGUCUGUGCCUACAUUGAGGGGGUUGAUGGAGACACCGAGGGUGGCGAAGGCGGUCGUGGCGAUGGCUGCAGUGGUGGCGGUCGUGGUGACGGUAGUGAUGGUCGUGGUGGCGGUGGCGGGGGAGCUGCUAUUUCUGGUCUUGGAAAUGCCCUAGGUGAUGGUGGCUUGGGAGAAGGAGGCCCAGGUGCAGGUGACUUGGGUGGCCCGAAUGAAAGUCGCGGUUGAGGCGCCUGCAGAGGCGGAGUUGUGGCCCGCAAGCGACGUGUAGAGCCCGCAAGCAUGUGAGUGCUCAGCUGACGAAGUCCCUCAGCGCGAUGGCCACUAUCAGCGACAUCAGCAGCCUGUAGGUAUGCGGCGGAGGGUCAUCGCGUAAGCAAUUGCAAGGCCUUCGGCGCCUCAGAAAAGAAAUUUUAUGACGAAACGUUUUCUCCUCAAAUCAUAUUCUGUAUAUGCAUGGUCCUCCCUGUCUAUAUAAAAAUAUAUAAUGCGCACCUUGGUUAUUACAGGGCUGCUGCUAACGGAUACCGCAAGGGCCGCGCCGAUCAGCAGCAGAACGAGCAGCGACAUAACUGUACAGCUGAACACAGCUGAAGCUCUUUGAGUGUAUGAUGCCCAACACUUGUGCAAUAAAAUGUUAGGCUCAAAUUGUGUUUUAAAGGUGCUAAGUGCUAAACAACUAAGACGGCGGCAGCUUAGUCUUGAGCGCCGAACAUCAAGUCGUCGAGAUUUUUAGUACCUGGCCAUGGCACCCCGCCCGGGUAGCUUAUAUCUCGGCCUACCUGCCGGAGAUUCCCUACUACGGACCUAGCGUACUAGGAUACUGACGAGGGGGCCCGGGGCCCCGCCCCGUUAGGUUCGCUACCAACAACUGCCGUCUUCGUGACAUGUCACGAUAGUACGUGACAUGUACGAAAGUUGUGUCGGAUCGUCAACGAAAUUUACAGUUAUUGUAAAAAAAUAAUCGUUGAAACAUUCUAAGGGAAAUGUAGCGUACUACAGUGGAUAUCCUUGCAAAGCCGUUGCCGGAUGUUUUCUUGAGAAUUUGUUCUGCGAUACCUGUAACGGUUGAAUUUGGCUACACCUACAGAGAUCUCUUCGCCUAUAUCUCAAUAUGCUCCUACUGCGGGAAUCCGCUCCAGGCAGGCAGGACAAAUAUUUCGUUGUCCACCUGCAACCGUCUACAUAGAUAUUAGUACACUUUGUUACAGAGGUUGCCAUAGAGGUGGCGAUGUUGUCGAUGAUGACGUUGCAAGCCUCGCCCGGCCGUCAGGUCAAUGGAUUCAGGGCGAUGACCAGGAUCCACUUCGCCUCGCACUUUUUAAUACUGGGCGAUGGAUGAUGUACAACAAAGGACACACUUGGCAAGAGAACAUAAGCCUGCCAACUGGGAAUAGUACAGUAUAAUUUAAAUGGAUAAAAGGAUUAGGGAGCUGCGGCGAUUAGUUAAAACAGUCAGUUUUGGAAAAUAUAUAUCAGGGUUGCGACUAUUACAGAAUAAUACGCAAAGCACAACUACGCCCAUAUACGCCGGCGAGGUGGUCGAUUUUUCGGGCGGCGUAUUAGUGGCGUGAAGUCAGCGUAAUUGUUUUACCGUAUGGUCCUACAGGCCCCCAUACCGCUUGUUCUGUCACCCCAAACAGCGCGCACUGCUCUCUCCGUUGCUAAUGGUAUCGUCUUAAUAGUGCAGUGAUAUCGACCGGCUCAGGUAAACAGUCGGUGUUCGUGUGUGUAUGUGUGUAUGUGGUUGUUACAGUGGGCUCCAGACUCACGAAGAGUAGAGCCAGCGGGACAGCUGGCCGUGCACUGAGACUAAUAUACAAAUUAGACAAUCACCCAGAUAAGACAACUAAAGGCAAAUAGACGGUCAAAACCGCGACUAAAGGGAAGGCUCAGGAUUCCUAGUUAUCCUACGAGCUGGAAGUACUGCUGGAAAAAACUAGUUUUCGUGAAAAGUCUUCGUUACAAAGACAGUACCUGCAAGCAAUAAAAGCAGCCUUUGUGAUAGGGUAGGGCGCACUGUUAAAACCAACAAAGCGCCGGACCCCAGCCGGGUCCUAUUUCAGUGGUUACCAUUCCCCUGGUAUAUGAGUGUCGACCAUUUCCAACACGCACUACCCCGAAGCGACAACUAGGCCUGCAGACCAACCGCUUCAGGACAGCACCCUAAGCGUAGCUACGCAAACCCGAAGUAACCAGCACAGUCAUUCGCAGCGACACAUAACCACGCAAGUCCGUGCAUCGUACAGUUGCACUCCGACUUAACAGAAAACCUUAGUUUUCUAGAAGCUUCGCUUAGAAAACUAUCAGUAAAUAGCUAGUCUACUGUUCAUCCAGACUGUGUUGUAGGAUUGUCCCUAAGAUAAUUGCUAUUGGCAAGACCUAGGAAGGGUGUUGGCAGUUGGGUGGCAACCGCAAGGCGACCUUCGCUGAACGCGUUACUUAUGCUUAAGCAUGUGCAAAAUGUCUCACACGAAAUAAUCAGAGUCUUACGACGAAAAUGGAAGCGUAAACAAUUUCAGUGGAAAGAUGUAGCUUUGACAUCUUCUUGGGGACAUGGAGGCCCACAUGCCACUGCCGCUGCUGCCACCACCGGUGCUCGUCAUCCCCCAUGCCGCCACUCCGACACUUCCGGGCGCCAUCCCAGGCGCCAGUGUACAGAACAAGUGACCCGUUUGGCGUUGAUAAGAUGUGCGGUUUGGACUCCCGGGCGAGCUGAGAUGCGAGUAUCGCCGAUGAUUUGCGGCACCUGGGCAAGCUUCUGUUCUGGCACAUGGUGCGUAAGUCAGUCAUGUGUAGUACCGGUAGCUGGUAUCGGCGGGGGAGGUGGUGGUGGUGUGUGCGGAUUUAUAAUAUCCGCAGUAGUGGUGCUGCGUUUUUCCGUCCAGGUUGUUUCAUUUGCUCAAUUGGGCUGUCGUCCACAUCCAGCACCCGCCGAAGGACCUUCUAAACGGACAUUGCGCGGAGCUUGGUGUCAAUCUCAGCGCGCGUCAUCAUAAUCCCCAGGCGUUGUCGUAGCGCUGUAGAACGUCCUUAUGCUUGAACCUGCUUGAACGAUCUUUUGCAAUGAGGCGAACAGCGCCGUUCUGUUCUGUCGGGCCGCAGACGCCAUCCGCUUGGGGGCCCAGUUAGGCUGCAAUUCAGAAAAUUUAGUCCUUAUCUUGCUGGCAUUUUGUUUUGGCCAUGCAAGACAAGUUUAGUGGCGCAAGCUAUCCAAUACAUGGGUACAGGAUGGACUAGUAGAACCUGUGGGAAAUAUAGAUGCAAAAAAUAGAGAAAAGCGAUAAUGCUGGAUGUGAUCCCCAUAUUGGGAACAUUGCCCGAAACCUGCAGUGCUUGAGUGAUGUUCCGAUGUGCUUCGGAUCACACUUCUUGCGGCUUCGCUUCGGAAGCACGGCCAUGCAAAAAACACUCAUAAAAAAAUAUUUUUAUGCAGGUGAAGUACCGAUAAAACUGCAUCUAAAUUAUGUAUGGCACUAGGGCGUCCGAUAGGAGGACUGGAGGACAAAUGUUCCUCCAGUUGCCGCUGGCACCAUCUGGAUACGCACCCAAAAGCAACAUUUGCUUUGUUACCAAAUACACCAUUUUUAUCUUUUCGACUUGUCUCUUCCAAACUGUUAGAGUACUUCGUCAAAUACAUUCGAUACGAACGGUUGCCGAACUUUUCAGCAUACUCUUCCCUUUACGCAUGAUUCCAAAGCUCUGGUAGCUGAUGAGUGCUGGCGACUGUUGCGGUGCAAUGGCACUUCCGUUAGACAUUCAUCGUUCCAGAGUCUGAGCCAACAUGUGACGCACUUCUGAGCUGCCAUUCACACAAGGGCUGGAGAAGUUGGGGCGAGUAUCCGCCAUCUCACACUCUCUUUCGUAACUGCCGUCGGUCGUACGGUGUAAUCAACUUUCAAUAUAUAUAUAGCCCAUGGCCUCCCUGCUUUGACGGACCCCCCCGCACUCGUGCGGCACUUGUAACUUGUAACUUGUAACUCUCUUUCGUAACUCUCCCAGUUAAGCUGUCGAGCUCCACGCACCUUGCACAAAAUUAAUCUUUUUACAGCGGAGUUAAAAACUUGUUGUCAGCACAAUCGUAGCUUGUUUCACAUCAUUUCCUGCGCUGAAUUUUUAACCUUCAAAUCGACGUAUCUAUAGUUUAGCGCUAUCAUGUGCAAUGCAUGAAUCCGCAGCGGGCAAAAGCUGGCAUAAGGAGUGCCUAGAAGCAGUGGACUUGCAGAGCUAUUUAAUGGAGUUAGUGGAGCGCGCAGCCCAUUUCCCUGUAGUAAUGUAAAAUCUGGCCGCAAUAAGCAACGAUUUAUACGCAUCGAGACGCAGCAUGCUGCUGUUGUCUUGCCAACAGGCUUGCUUGUUAAGACGAACAUCUCAAUUUCAGCGGUAUAGUUGGCUAUUGUUAUCGUAAUGCUAUAUGAGUGACGAUGUUGCCUUGUUGUUGGCGCGCCCUCCUGAAACAUGGUGGAUAAGCCAUGACAGCUUGCAAGCAACGUUUACGGACGAGCACGUACGUGGCAGGAAUUCACACUUCCUGAUGGAAAGUGAAGAGGGCCAGUAUGGCGCAUAUGAAUAGCGCGAUGAAAUCCAAUGAAACGCUGAGUAGAUAUAUUGUAUGCUAGGAAGACGGGUUUUGAAAGAGGUUUGCGAAGCGGAAGACGCAGAGAUUCGACAAGGCGACAAGGCGACAUGACUUCCGAGAACGGGCAAAGAACAAGCCAAGGUGCUGAGAACAUCAGAGUCCUUGAUAUGUUAAAUGCAAUUCAUGCUAAGAGGUAGAAGCAAUAUUAGACGAGAGGGAUCAAGGACGGAGUUUGGGGAGGGACGAGUCUGUGUGCCUGUAUGUAUGUUGUUACAGGGUGGUAUAGCUUCACUAGCGGCCCCAUUUCCCGAGGCAGUUCCCUGCUCUCCCCUGCGAGAGGGGCACCCUAAUCCAUUCACCCCAUCCGACUUCAGAAUGGAUUUUCGUUGGGUUCAGUAACUCACGACCAGCAUCCAACCAAAUCUAGCGGAUCAACGGCGCCACAACUUAGUUCCUGGUCAGGUCGCAAGUAUGUCUGUAUAUAUGUGUGAAACAGGGGGGUGUAUCUUCGCCCGUGGCAGCUACCCUGCGAAACCCUGCCUUCCCCGGUAUUUCGGGGCACCCUCAUCCAGUCACCCUAGUCAACUCCAACGGAACCUGCCGGGUCGACAGCAGCGCAACUCCAUUCCUGGUCGGCUCGCAGGUUAACUUUAUCCCAGGUCACCACCGUCCAUCAACUAGGGGCGCAAUGCCUUCCACCAUCGGAAGGACUUUUGACCCUAAUGGGUAUCGAUCCCGGGAUCUCCCGGGGGCAGUGGUCGCGCCUUACCAGUAGUGCCAAACCCUAGUAUAGUCUGUAUGUCUGUAUGUCUGUGUGUCUGUGUAUGUAUGUCUAUGUGUCUGUAUGUCUGUGUGUCUCUGUGUAAUCAGUGCAGUGCAGAACAGUCAUGCAUGGGACGCAAAUAUUUUACAUGCAAGGUUCUGCAUCUGGGACAUUUCAUUUGUCGACCACCACACCACGCACUGGCUACACACCGUGCCAGCUAAGUGCAUGGCUGCAUGAUAAGAAGUAUUGACCUGACCGAACGCAGAACUAACCUGCAAAGGAUAUUGCCUCUACCGCGGUUAACCACGCAAAAUUGCAAUGCCUUGCGUAAUCUCCUAGACACGACUGAGGAUGAUGAGCCAUGGAUGUGAAAAACCGCAAACCGGGCAAGGGACCGCUCCAUCACAGGAUCAGCUGGCUCCCGUACAUACGGAGCAUGUUUACGAUCGACCUAUUGGCAUAAAUCGACCUAGUGGCAUAAAUGGCCGUACAGCGGUAUAAUAUAGAAUUAAGCACAUACAAGUAGUUGCACAUCCGCUUUUUUCCCAAAUGGUGCUCAGACACAUGACUACUCCUAGGCCGGACACAUCGGCCCAUACCUAAGCUGCAAUACAUCGCAAGUUAAGAAGGAAUGGCCCCUGGACAACUUGGUUAGGGCAGCAGUAGUAAUACUAAUAUAUGGGAGUACACCGGCCCGAGCCUGGUGUGUUUGAGUUGAGGGGGCUUCAUGCUAAGGGGGAAAUAAACUUGGGCGGCAUUUCUGCGCCUGCAGUCCACACUGCACCAUGCCCCGGCGGACACAUGCAUCAUUAGGAGAACUCGCAUAUGGGUGCGGGGCCAGGGGACGCACUCCCCACUUGCAUGCAACGUUGACACAGGAGAGGCACUUAGGUAUGUGCACUCUGGUUGGCCAGCCAGCACCAUUGGCCAGUAUGGAUUCAUGCGAUUGACUCCUACGACAUGUGCUCGCUAGCUCGGGUCACGCUGUACACAUGCACAUGCACUAUGGAGUAGCGGUGAUUUGGGAACUAUUGGAGCCUACAUUUAAGCAAACAACUGCCAUACAUACAGAGACGACCUUAGGUGAAAUGAAUGGCAUGCACAGCACAAUACAUAUGAUGCCGGAGACAAAAGGCAAACUGUGGAACUACAUACCGCGGUCCAGGGUUCCACGGUCGUGCAUGUGGCUGGCAUAAUAUAUGAACUCGCUGGAUCCCUGGAGACUUUUGCAAACACCAAAUCAACCAGGAAAUGGGAAAACUCCUUCUGCACCAAAGAACGUGUGUCUCUAAGCGGGGCACCUAUCAAUCUGCGUGGAAUGUGCAUGUACACAUACACAGUGGAGAUGGAACAGAAUGCCUGGCUGGCGUGUAUUUAGGUGGAUGAAGUAGUGGUGGGGCAUGUGCAUGUAUUACCGUGGGUUUGCGUUCCGUGUUUAUUAUUAAGCGACGGACGUAAUGACCACCCGUCCAUCCCUGUCACUGCCGGUGGGCAGCACGUCUUCAACAGAAGCGAUGUCCACUUCAAGUGAUCGGCGGGCAGAGACGGGGGGAAAGACGUUCGCCAGAAGGUAGCUAUCUCCAAUAAUAUUUCCCGGUGGUGCAUAAUAGCAAACAACCACAUAACAGUUCAUGCCUCGCGCUGCAGCACAGCCGACUUGCGCCGUCGAAGCCCACACGACUUGAGUGAAGCGCGCAAUAAUCGAGUAUGGAUUGUCAGUGUACGGUGUGCUCGUGAACUUGUACAGCGAAAUUUCGCCGUACCAUGCUUCCACUGCCCUACUGCAAUUGAGGGGAGAUGUCUGGCUUGAGGUCGACGUCGUGUACAAAUUCUCGCCGGUGACUCCUUCGUUAUGCAAACCGCAGCUGUUGUUUAGCGCCAGGUUGGCGGCCCAGUUCUGCGUUCGGACGUCAACAUUAUACAUUAGUACAUGGGGAGUGUACUUGGUGCAGGCCGUGACGCAGAAGGAGGCCAGGUGACGAACGGAAAGUAAGCUACACGAGGACGGCACGUGCUGUAAUCCACAAACGGCCGCAGCGGCAUACGUGCGUACGAUGUGGAGCUGCGUGCGAUGCUGUCACGAUACAGUUCCCAUUACUGGGUUCCUCCCAUGCAUCUGUCUAUCUUGCAGGUGUAUUCAUCCUAUUGCUGCAGCAAGAAUCCGUGGACACAAACACGGAUUCUCAAUCUAGCUGCUAAACACGCUCACGCAUUGUUGUCUCUUCAUACUGUUCCCAACACACGCCUGGCUCACGUGCCGGCAGGUGGCAGCUAGGACUCUUGCAUGACAGGGGUCCGCCUCUCCCCGCGGGCCAUUCCCCAACCCCACCUCCCCUAACCGACCGGGAGAUCCCCACCUCGGGGCCCCCGCAAUGGAAACCCCUUCAGGUCCCUUUUUCGGAGUUGGUCCACGAACACUACACACAUACUUGUGCGAGCGUACUUACCUUUGCUUGCUGCGCGAGGGUGUUGUCCCAGCCCAGUGCCGGCGACCCGUGCCGUGCACGGUACUGGUUGUGCAGCAGCAGGGCGGCGGCAGGGUCGGCACAGCCUGCAUCGGCGGCAGCAGUGGCGACGCCAACAUUACAGCAGACGACAACAGUGGGGGAGGUACGUGGCAAGAACGACAAAAGACAUGUAUUACCGCCGUGUGGUUCGCGGGGGCAGCACAGGUGGUCCGUUCGGGUCCGGGAUACACCGUAUGUAACAUUCCCAUUCAUUCAGCUGGUGACAGGCGCAUGAGUAGUUGGUGGUCGCUGCAGGUCUUCAUGUCUUCAGGAGAGCCAGCUUAAAUGGGUGGUGAAGACAUAUGAUUGAAAUUGAUUAUAUUGAUAUAUUGGCGGUUCGUCCGCAAGUCGCCCUUGGCACUAUGUGUAAAGCAGUCAGAGUGCAGAAAUAACCAUGUUUGUAUGCGCAUAUUCGUACAUGCAUGUGUAUGUGCGUAUGUAUCUAUGUGUGUAUACGGCUGCCAGCCGAGUUUGUUGAAUGAUGAACUAGGGGCGGGCUAUCUGAGCAGCUGCACGGCUAUGAAUGUAGCUGCAAGAAUGCAUGUGCUGAUGGGUACAUAAAUACCGAUAGAUGCAUGGAUGGACAUGCACCCGCCCACCACACAAAUGCACGUGCACGCAUGAGCAUCAUGUUGGGCAGCGAUUUCUAUUUGCGCAACAUUCUCCGUGGUCCUGAAAACUAGGACCAGAUUGUGUUCCGACCGUACAAGCUCAUUCCUCCAGCCAAAAAUGGGCUGUCAAUGCCAAAGCCGCUGGAAUCAUACAGGAGACAUACAUGUUAAUCACAUCAUAGCACUUCAAUCCCGUGGAUGGUACUGUUCGGAAGGUCACGCCCGCGAGUCAACGAGGAACAGGACUUCCUGACCGGACCAAACGCUGCAAAAUAAUCAGCCCCAAAGCUCCCACAGCGGCAUUUGUACGAACUAAAUUGUAACGCAUGGGGGGGUGUUUCUGGGGGGGCCGGAGCCUCCCCAGCGCCUUACAGAUUGGGAAUAGUUUUAUUCCCGCGUUUAAAACCCUAUUUCCCCCAUUCGGACCGGAAAAUUCACGGGCAAAAACGCUGCUCUUGGGAAUAGGAGCCGCUGUGCGUGAGUAUAACUUGUGACGAGCGUAUACAAUCAGUUGCGCAGCACAGCGGUCGCUAGCUAGCUCACCGCCGAUUAGGGCAUCUCCGGGAAGGGGCGGUGGAAAUGGUGCAUUGGGAGGCCUGCAGCAGCAGCAACAGCAGCAGGUCCGCGAAUUGGCCUCGGCGGGUAUGUCGUGAAAAGCAGGCAUGUCUUCCUCUUAUCAUGUUGCCAGUAUACGGCAUACACCAGCCAAGCAGGAAGCAUGGACCCCCAUUCCUGAGGAACGUGUAAAAACUUGUACAAGUCCAUGUCCGGAAACAUACGUACGCGGUGCAGACUCCACACGUCGGGCGGCACCAGUAGUCACGGACAGAUAAGCCUUGAAGGAUGCGCGUGGGCUCGCAAUAGCCGAUGUUUUUCCAGACAUUGCAGUACGACACCUGGUCAACGCAUCUCCGUCGUCCUCCAGGCGAUGACCUGGCGACCGACGGAGAUUCGUUCCGUCCGUGAUAUAAAAUAUCACGCACCCGCGCGCGUGAUACAGCGAGGGCACGGGUGAUGAUGUACGUUGCCAGCGAUUUAUAUUGUUGUUGCGCGACAGCAUCAUGGUGGCGUCGGGCCAGAAGGCGCGGCCGUGUGGGGGGGGGGCGGGAUUAUACGAAGCAUAAUCUACGCAAAUCUACGCAAAAUUCUACUUGCGUAGAAAAGAUGGAAGCAUGCUAUGGAUGAGCAGGUUUCGGAGCCUUCCGUGCCGAUGUGAAUCAGCGAACGUAAGCGUGCCAAAUGUUCAAUGGAAGCAAAGCAGCAGGCAGGCGCGCACAUGAAGGCCACAUGGCUACCUAUAACACACACUCACAAGUGCUUGUCCGGAAACACGCAGCAAGCAGGCAACAGGCAGGAUGGAGGAAGCCGGAAAGGUGGCAGCAAGGUUGUAAGUUAGCGUGCAUAUAUGCAGCUGGUGUAAUACGCACGCAACAGAUGCAUAUCCAGAAACAGACGUACUCGGUGCAGACUCCACACGUCUGGCGGCACCAGUACUCACGGACGGACAAGCCGCCAAUGAAGGACUUGGGCUUGCAAUCGCCGUUGACUUUCAAUUCCGCGCAGUACGACAUUCGGUCGACGCAUCUGAGAUGCUUGGGACAGCAGGCAGCCACGGAUCAUCAAGGACGGGGAUGGUCUUGUUUAUCAUUUCGCACCACAACUAACAAGCACCGGACGGAAGCAAGGAAGGCAGGUGGCAUUCGGGCACACCCACCCGUCAGGACAGUCAGGUAGCAGGCAGCCAGCGGCAAUACCAUUAUUGCUAGAGGUGCUGGAGAACAAUGCACACGGGAAUAUAAUGCUGAUGGACUUAUACGAGCACCCUUGCCCACUGGUUAGCGGGUUAUCCAUGCAUGCACCCAGCAGCAGUAUCUUAGUUGAGCGGCCACCAGGCCAUUAGCCGCUACUCACUAACAUAAUAUCAUAGCUAGUAGCCAAAAUAAGUCGAUACAGCUUGCUUGUCCUAGCGCUCGAAAAGCACGCUGAGUGCGGGUGCGUGGGUGCAUGCAAAGUUGCGGAGUAAGGCCAGCACCCAACCGCCCACGCGCUCUAACCAAGCACUUACGACAGUGGUGGUGACGGUGUUGGCACCGGCGGUGAUGAAAGCGGCACCCUGGCGACCGCGAUAUGAAUAGUUAUACCACAUUAACACAACGGGCAUACACAAGCGAGCGUGUUUUAGCCGGGGCCCGGGUCGUGUCGUACAGCGUUAGCGGGUUAUAUUGUUGUUGACAUCAUGGCUCCCGAUCAGUGCAGCUGUGAAUGUUCAUACGCACGUGUCUGUUGUGUCGCGGUCACACACAUGCAACGGUAUGUUUAGUUUACAAGCAGCCGCAUUUAAUAAGGCAGCAGGUACGUGGAACAAGCGAAGCAGUAGUAGGCAUUCAAACCCCAAGUAGCCCCAACUGCAGAUUAAAUAGCACCUACGUACUGCAGAUGAUGAUAAGCCCACACAUGCUGCAGGAGCGAACACAGAGAUGAGAGCUAGCGCAAACGCAACAAAACCUUGCUUGUGUAGUGCUUCGAAGCUUAUAAAUUCUCUUUCUCUCUGUACAAACAGAGUCCCUCAUGCAUCCGCACAGGAGUUGAUGGCGGGGCCGGCAUUGCAUAUACGUAAACAGAGCAGGUCACCAGUCAUGGACGGUCCCUACUGCGUGAGCUGGACGCGUCAACCACAAAGCUAUACUACCAAUUCAAUUGUCCGUCGGUGCCUACAUUGGGUUCGCUGGCGGCGGGGGGAAUAUUGGAGGGGAUGGCGACCGGGGUGGCGGUGGUGAAGGCAGCGGCGGCGAACGCGGGGGAGGCCGGGGAGGCGGCAGCGGUGAAGGCAGCGGCAGCGAAGGUGGUGGAGACCGGGGCGGUGGCGGUGAAGGCAGCGGCGGCGAAGGUGGUGGAGACCAGGGAGGCGGCAGCAGUGAAGGUGGUGGAGACCGGGGUGGUUGCAGUGAAGGCGGCGGCAGCAAAAGUGGUGGAGACCGGGGUGGUGGCGAUGAAGGCAGCGGCGGCGAAGGUGGUGGAGACCGGGGAGGCGGCGGAGGCGAAGGCAGUGGAGGCCGGGGCGGCGGCAGUGAAGGCGGCGGCGGCGAAGGCGGUGGAGAUCGGGGCGGCAGCGGCGGUGAAGGCGGUGGAGACCGGGGCGGCGGCGGUGGUGAAGGGGGUGGAGACCCGACGCAUGUUCCACACGUCUUGCGGCACCAGUAGUCAGCUAUGGACUGGUUGUUGGCAAAGUACAUGGGGGUACAGAAGCCGUUGGAUUUCCAGGUGGCACAGUAGCUCGCCAGCGGCUCCUGAUCAGUACAGCUGUGGACGUACAUGUGCACAUGUCAUGUUGUAAGGAGACCUUACUGUAAUAAGCCCAUGCAUCCUGUAUGCGCUAACAUGAUGAGGACUAUCACAAAUGCUAAUACAAUCUCGUCGUGCUUCACGCAUCCUACAGCUGUGUGCAUGCAUCCACACAUCUAUAAAUGACGUGGCGCUUGUGUACCUUGUGUGGUUAAAAAGGUGAUUCACUGCUACCCACUGCUAGAACAUUAUGGCAAGUAAUGACAAAGACAUGGACAGUUUGUUUGUCCUAGAUCACGGGAAACAUGCUGUCUGCCCGAACACUUACAGCAGCUGUGGUGAUGGUGAUGGCAUCGGCGGAGGUGGGAGCGCCUGCCUGCAGGCAAGGAGCAGCAAACACAAGAGAGCCCAAGUAAGGAAAACCAGGUUAGGGACAUCCACUUGGGGAACGACUUGGUCAUGGACGGGUUUUCCAGUCAUGGAUCCGGUCAUGUAUGUGGUCAUGGAUCCGGUCAUAAUUUGUCAUUAAGUCAUGGUUCAGGUCAUGGAACAGUUCAUAGUUUGCAAAAGCCAAGUGCAGGAUAUGACUGGUGGGGGUCAUAGAAUGUCUGCGAUUCAUGAUGUCAAUUUAUGAUAAGUCGGGUGUCGGCUUCCUCGAAGCCGGAAAAAGGGCCGGCCACCCCUGGUGUGGGAGCUAAGCUUGCACCGGCGGAAUCGUCAGCACCGCCUGUGGGCUCCACGCGAAUCGCAUCCAUCCCGGGUGCAUGCCACAUGGACAGUGCGGCAGACCGCAAGUCGGAAUGCCCGUGCGGGCAAAUGGUAACGCAAGCUGGGUGAAGUUCGGUGCGGACUGUGAUGUUUAUCCCCGAAGCGCCAGCGGCCUCAGCAAUCCGCCCCACAGCCGCGAGCUUCAUCGCGGCACACCGCAAGUCUCCCGAGGCCCCGAGCAUUGGCUAAAGUAAAUGUACAAACGAGCAGCUUGCGAAUUUCAUAGCGAAAUGAAAGGAAAUAUGUCGGUCUACUGGUGGCAAGUCGGAAUGCCCGUGCGGGCAAAUGGUAACACAAGCUGGGUGUUCAAGUUAUCGUACGCUGUCAUCUCAGAAUUCAUGAGAUACGCGGCACCUUUUGAGAUGAAAUUUAGGCCGUGAGGCGUUGAUGUGACUUUGAGAUCGGUCAAUGGAGGCAGCCAAAAUUGUUUGUGCUCAUACGAUUUUUGUUGGCUACAGGCGAGAUACCUUGCGAUAGAGAAUGCAGUGUAUUACCGAUAACGCGUUUCAGCCGGGUGAAAUACCGUAUCGCUAUGGCCGAUUGGUGAUUUCUGGAUUGGUGAAAGUAAAAAACGCUUCUAGAAUUAAUCUUUCCAACACCGGAAUUGGUGAUACGCUUUGGUGUUACCCCGUCCACUUUUUCCCAUUGCCACCGAAUUGGUGAAAGCCGCCAACCGGACUGCCCCCCGUUCACUGUGGGCCCUCCGAGGCGCCCCAGGCCCACAUCAACCAAUCUGCAGUCGCAUGUAAACGUUUCUAGUAGGCUGGACCCCCAGACGCUCAUCCACUGGCGUAUCCUUGGGCAGCUUCGGUGCGAAGUCAAACAUCGUGCGCUGCCUUCCUGCCAUGAUGAAACUCUUGCUGACCAAGUAAUAAUUUAUUAAUGUAAUGACUAUAUAAUGUAAAGUUUGGCAGGAAAUAUUGCUUUAUGUGUGCUUUUCUGCGAGUUAGGCGGUCCGGCACCCGACCUGGAUCCAAAUUGUACAGGGAUUGGUGAUGGCCGCCGCUCAAUCCCAGCCCGGAUUAUCCUUUGCUACUGGAUUGGUGAUUUUCACCAAUCCGGUGUCACCAAUCGGCCAUAGCGAUACGGUAUUAUGUUUGGUCCGUUACACACCCAAGGCCUGGGAGUUCGAGUAAUCAUACGCCGCCAUCUAAGAACUCGAUUAUGAGAUACGCAGUACCUUUUGAGGUUAAAUUUAGCCCGAGAGGCGUUGAUGUGACUUUGGCCUCGGUCAAUUGAGGCAGCCAAAGUUGUUUGUGUGAAUGCUGUGCCUGUGGGAAGGUGCAAGGUGGUAGUUCACAAUGUCAUGCUUGAACACAGCAGGAGAGAUCCUUUGCUGGUUUAACCUCAAAUACAUGCCUUAAGUGUGUGUUGCAUACCUCUUCUUAAAUCUGAUCCCAAACUGAUACAUUUUUCUGUCUAGUUUUUCCUUUCUCGCUUGGCGCGGUUACUGGACAAGUUCACUGGUUCACAGUUCGAAACUCUUCCAAUCGGUGUCUUCCGACGCCACCAUCCAGUUGUGGUUUGGUUAGAUGUAACAAGUUUGGUAUCGAGACGGUUCCUCCCGGGACCUCUCUCAUUCCUGAAGUUUUCAAGAUCCUACUUUUGCUAUCAAGAUCCCGAUUUCUACUGGCGCGUGGAUGGAGGUCGAUGAUGUCACCGGACCUCUGGCUACAAUAGUCGACGCCCUCGAAGAGGCCGUCCGCGAAGUGGCAGCCGCCGGUCUGUAACUAUUUUAGCAAAACCGUUUGCUAACGUUUUCUAGAAUUUUGGGUUACUAGCGUUAAAGCUGCUUUAGGUUCCGAGCCGCCGGUUCCUUCGGCGGUCCCUGCCCUCCCAAUGGCAUACUCCAGGCCGGUUCCGGCCCGGUUCCGACCUAACGGGUCCAGUUAACGAGAUGGGUAACCGGUCGGUAGGAUUACCGGGCGAACCGUUAUCCGUUAACCGUCCCCAGUAAUCGGUAACCGAUGUCGGUAACCUGGCAUGAGCAAAAAUGCAUUUCUGACUGCAACCAGUUUCUUUGUGACAAUGCCCAUUGUCACAAGGUUCAUGCCCACGUGUCACACCCCGACAAGCUUGAGGAGGUUAAGGCAAUGUGAAUGCCGGGUGACAGGGGUGACAGUCUUGUGCAGGCACAUUUGGAGACUAGUUUACACUGAGAUUGGGGUGAUGUUGGAUGAGAAUACUUGCAGUUCAUGAAAUUGAGGAAAUGUGUUGCAUAGGCAUAUCCAAACGUUUCAGUAGGACGUUGUUUCGCCCGUAACAAACUUGUUACGGGCGAAACAAACUGGAUUUCCACAGUCCCACCACUCAAAGAGCUCCCCACACCAUCGCAAAGUCCCUUUUUUAUUACAGACACAUGUAACAAGUUGUCAUCGCUUGAGAUUGUCGAUAUAUGACUGCUGGAUUGUGACCAGGCCAUCUCCUUACAUGUCUUGCUGCACCAGCAUGAGCAGUGAUCCCUUCUGUUCAAAAUUUUUAGGCAACAUCGCAAUGAGGCAAAACAUUGUGCCGAAUCUGCCGUACAAAGAGUGUUCAAAGCUUCACGCUACUAACGGACGAAUACAUCAGCAUUCAUUUACCUUGAAAGAAUAAAGGAAUUCUAUAGCUUCAUACAAAUUCGCCUAUCAGCAACUCUCCCUGGUCGUUCAAAAGUUGCUUGAAGAUUCUACCGUCUCCAUACCGUAUCGCUAUGGCCGAUUGGUGAUUUCUGGAUUGGUGAAGUAAAAAACGCUUCUAGAGUUAAUCUUUCCAACACCGGAAUUGGUGAUACGGUUUGGUGUUACCCCGUCCACUUUUUCCCAUUGCCACCGAAUUGGUGAAAGCCGCCAACCGGACUGCCCCCCGUUCACUGUGGGCCCUCCGAGGCGCCCCAGGCCCACAUCAACCAAUCUGCAGUCGCAUGUAAACGUUUCUAGUAGGCUGGACCCCCAGACGCUCAUCCACUGGCGCAUCCUUGGGCAGCUUCGGUGCGAAGUCAAACAUCGUGCGCUGCCUUCCUGCCAUGAUGCAACUCUUGCUGACCAAGUAAUAAUUUAUUAAUGUAAUGACUAUAUAAUGUAAAGUUUGGCAGGAAAUAUUGCUUUAUGUGUGCUUUUCUGCGAGUUAGGCGGUCCGGCACCCGACCUGGAUCCAAAACAGGGAUUGGUGAUGGCCGCCGCUCAAUCCCAGCCCGGAUUAUCCUUUGCUACUGGAUUGGUAAUUUUCACCAAUCCGGUGUCACCAAUCGGCCAUAGCGAUACGGUACUAUGAAGGAGCGCUUCUUCAUUUCUUCAUUUUAUCUGAACCUUAACGUAUCCUUCCAACACAAUGUCCAUGGACAACGGUAAUGAGGACGGCGCCUACGAGUUUGACCGGAACGCCCUGGACAACAUCGCCCGUCGGCGACAAGAUCGCCCACGCAAGAAAUACAGCCAGCAUCGUCCAGUGGAUGAGUUUGGAGUACAUAAGUUUGCCAGGGCAAACAAUCUAAGUCAAUUUACCGCGUGCCAAUUGGAGGAUGCCUUGUCCAAGGAAAGGUGCCAUAUGGACGACCUUGUCAACCUAUUGCGCCAAUCUAGUGACAUGGACGCAAAGCAGUUGCUUGGGGACAUCGGCUUGACACCACUUCAUGCUGCUCUGGUCGUCUCAAAAGUUUGUCCUAGCAUAGCUUGCGUAGCUAGUAUUGCCUGGUUUUAGUUGUUGCAUGUAAGCUUGUGAGUUGGUGGCCUGGUUCAUGCUUAUGGCCUUUGCCGAAGGCUCUGUCAAGAGCUCCGUAGCACCCUUUCGGUGCUGCAACAGACAUUCAAAAAUUGACAGCUCUCUUUACCUGGGUACACGGUCUGCCUGAUCUGGGUCAGGAUAGUUGGAAUGGAGCAGACUAGGCGAAGUCGAUAUGACCAAUGGAACUGUCCCACCGCUAUCGAUAUGACCAAUGGAACUGUCCCACCACCGCCUAUUGCCCUGAAUAACAACGAUCAAUUGAUAAAUAUCAAUAAUCCCUCAUCUGCUGUUCCGAUUCCUGCGGUGGAACACAUCGCGGGUCGCCACCGCCGGCGAUGUUGUUCCUUACAUCGCUACCGAGCGCGAUUUGCCCGCUGGGGUCAGUGAUGAGGUGAUUAGGAUAAAUAUUCCGGUACCUAGGCUUAGUAUCUCUGUCGAUAUUAAGCUUAGCGACUUAUCGCGGGAAGUUGCGCCACGUAUCCGCGCCUUCGUCCAUGAUGUCCGGAAAUAUUUUGAUUUCAUGCGAGGCGGAAACCAUGAUGUAUACGUUGCCUGUUUUUAGCUAAUGCUCUUGAAGGCGCCGCGAAAACCUGGCAUGAUGACUGGACAAACGCGCAGUUGCCAAAUACUUCAGAGCAACUUUUGGAGGCACUGUUAAUUCGUUUUGCCCCGCAGAUCCAAACACGCGAACUGGCGGCGCUAGAAAAACUUGCUGCAGGGCAGCAUUAGAUGCGGGCGAGCGAAACGGCAGCCACGUACCAUAGUCGUACCAUAGCCUUUCCGCUGAGUUUUCAGGAGAAUGUGCGACCGACCAGAUGGUAAACCUUUUCAGGAAUAUGCAAAACGUGUGCAGCACACGCUUGGUGUUGAGGCCCGUCAACUUGCUAAAUUUCAUUCUCAAACCCAAACCCGCAUGCUUCUGCAUGCUUCUACCGCUGUGCAGGAUACCACACCCAUCAUCACUGACGAGGGGGACCUCCCGGUGCUGGAGGUCAGGCCUCGGGCUGCUACUGCUGCCGCUUGGCGGAACACAGCUUGCCGGGCCUCCGGUGCUGGUCAGUCGAACCAUGGGUGCAGGGGUCGGGGUGGCAAGCAUAGGGACAAGGGUCGGCCCAGGGCCGCUGCUGGGGGAAUGGGGACGACGGUGCUAGGCAAGCGUGGCAGGAAUCCGAAUCCGGCAGAGUGGAUGACUAAGUUUUACUGCACUCGGGUGGAGUAUGACUACUGCCGGAAAAAUGGCCGUUGCCUCUGCUGUGGGGACGACAAGCCCCUAGUGGCAGAGUGCCCAUGGCAUUCUAGGAACGGGGACAAAUAGGGGGUUGCCCAGGACAGUGUCAGGGAAGUACUCCCAGGGUUACAAACCCGAUUGGUGCCCAUAAUCUGCCCAGUUGGAUGUGCUGUCCCGGCCGUGUUAGACCAAGUUGAGAAGGCUGUUGAAUGGCGUUUUUCGUUUGACACUCGUACUGCUCGUCCUGGUUUUGACGAGCACUGUAAUCUGUUUGCUAUUCCACGGUGUGUAUCCUCUAGCAACUUGGGUGGGCAUACCAUUUGGUUUUCCUCCUCUUUCCAAGAACUUCAGUCUCAACUUGCUCAUUAUCGUAUUUGCAAACAUCAGCGACCUGACACUGCGGCCUGUCUCCUGUUACCAGCACAUCUAUCCCGGAGAGCUGCCUCCUUGCUGAUCGGGAUGAGUCGGGUUCUUCAGUUUCGUGCUGGUAGCAAGCUCUUCAACAGUGUAGACAUGACGGGUCAACUUGUUUCCCUUCCAGGUCUGCCAUAUACUGCUGACGUUUGGCACGGUCCCCCUCUUGUCCUGGGGCACCUUGACAUGGAGCCCCAUGUUUCGGUUCUCUGUGCAAAAGUUGCUGCGUCAACUGGGCCCAGAGUUCCUUUAAUUGGCAUUCAUGUCGCUAGACAUUCUUUAACUGCCAUGGCCGACUCUGGUGCAAGUGAUGACUUCAUUUCUGCGUCCAUCGUUGAGCAGCUCGGACUGAAACCUCAACCGGCAUCGUGGUCAUCUGUCACCCUUGCUGACGGGGGUAAGCAGGUCAUUUUGGGCCAAGUUUCCCUUCGCAUAUCCUUGGGCCCUCUGCACCUAAUUGUCUGUCCGUAUGUGCUGCCUAAGUUUACUGAUGCAGCCACAUUUAUCUUAGGGUCCGCUACCCUUGAUCAGUAUGGGGCUCAUCUGAAUUAUGAGACCCACACCUUGCAGUUGCAGAAGGGAACCUUGUGUUAUAAGGCACCUUUCACCACUGCGGGACGGAUGGGAGAAGGGAAUACUAGUGCUGCGCAUUCUGAACCCUGUGUGAAUUUUGCUGCUGCCGCUAUCUGUAAGCGAAUUGAGCCUGAACCCGUUGGGUGCAAAGCAGCUAUCCAUAUGAUUCACAAGGGGGCGCAUGCAUUGCUAGUAUGGCCUAAAUUGCAACUGAAUACAGCCGUUACCCAGAUCACUGAAAAUGACCCUGCGGUUGAAGCCCUUCUUAACGAAUACUCAGAUAUCUUCCGUGAGGUCCCUGGACUUCCCCCGAUGAGACUGGUAGAUCAUACCAUACCUUUGGCUCCUGGUGUGCAGCCUGUUUCGUGGCCCAUGUAUUGCCUCAGCCCCCUGGAGCUGGAUGAGGUGACACGCCAGGUAGCCAACCUACUGAGGAAAGGUAUGAUUAGACCCAGCACAUCCCCAUACUCUGCUCCCAUUUUAUUUGUGGGUAAGAAAAACGGGACUCUGUGUAUGUGCAUAGACUAUAGGGGUCUAAAUGCGACCACCGUUAAAAAUCGCUAUCCUAUCCCACGGGUCGAUGAUCUACUGGAUAGACUGCAUGGUUCGGCUUUCUUUAGCUCCAUUGACCUACAGCAGGGGUACAAUCAAAUCCGUAUUGCUGAAUCAGAUAUUCCGAAGACUGCAUUUCGUACACCCUAUGGUCAUUACAUGUAUACUGUGCUGAGCUUCAGCUUGACGAACGCUCCUGCCACGUUCCAAGCCCUGAUGGACUGAACCUUUCGGCCCUACAUAGACCGUUUUGUCGUUUGCUACCAAGACGAUAUCCUGGUCUAUUCAAAGACAUGUGAAGAGCACCUGGAGCAUUUGCGGCUGGUCUUUGAAAUUUUGUGGCGUGAGCAACUGUUUGCCAAGCGUUCUAAGUGCCACUGGGCCCAGCCUCGGGUCGAAUACCUUGGUCACAUCGUCUCCAAGGAUGGCAUCUGCAUGGAUCCCCAUAAGACUGCUGCGGUGCGGAACUGGCCUACCCCGACCAAUUUACAAGAACUAAGGAAGUUCUUGGAGCUGAUGAACUACUUCCGUAAGUUCAUCGAACGCUAUGCCAUUAUUGCCGCACCUCUGACAAAUCUGACAUGAAAAGGGGCUUUGGUAUCUCCUGACUGCUGGGGUCCUGACUGCCAGCAAGCGUUCGAUACACUUGAGCGUAUUGUCUCUGAAGACAUCAUUCUGCGUUUCCCGGAUUACUCCCAACCUUUCCGUGUGGAGGUCGUAACUGAUGCAUCCAUGCAUGGUACGGGAGCAGUACUCUGCAAAACGGGAGACCAAUCGCUUUUAUUAGUAAGAAGUUCUCGGGGGCUGAAACCCGUUAUACCACUGGGGAACAAGAACUUCUUGCUGUACUGAACGCGCUUAAGGAGUGGCGGUGUUAUCUGGAGGGUUGGCCGUUCACCCUCAAAACCGACCACAAACCCCUAACGUUUCUGCAAGGCGUGCCUACCCUUAACCGUCGUCAAGCCCGGUGGAUGGAAUACCUUAGCCGGUUUGACUUCACAUGGGAAUACCUGCAAUGCAUCCUUAACGUUGCUGUUGCCUUAAAUCGGCACCCUUGUCUGCAUGCAGCCAUUCUGUAAGUCGUUACACGCAACCGUGCUGCAGCACCCGUUGUGCCCUCUGAACUUAUGCAAUGACUUCGAGCUGCCUAUGCCACGUAUCCCCGGUUUUCCGAUAACCACAAUACUGGCCAUUUAACCUGUAACAGUGGCCUUUGGAUCCGCACUGAGGGUACUUUUCGGCAGGUUGUCGUUCCGAAUGAUGCGUCAUUAAAACCUGUCACGUUUUCAUGAUGACCCGCUGGCUGGGCACCCUGGCUGCACCCAUCUGAUCGAGGUUCUCCGUCGUCAAUUCUGGUGGCCUCGGAUGGCUAAGGAUGCUGAGAACUAUGUCCAGAACUGUGAGCUGUGCCAACGCAAUAAAGUCCUGUCAGGUAAGCUCCACGGCCUCCUGUGCCCCUUGCCUGUGCCGGCCGCCCCUUAGGAAAAUGUUACCAUGGACUUUGUUGUAGCUUUGCCCAAAACUGAGGGGGGAUUCGAUGUCGUUUAGGUCAUGGUAGACCGACUCACGAAAAUGGUGCACCUGGCACCUACGGUAUCAUCCUGCACAGCUGAGCAAACUGCACGUCUGUUCUUUGACAACGUAGUGCGUUUGCAUGGUGUCCCCAAGAACGUUGUGACCGACCGCUGAUCGCAAUUUGCCAGCAGAUUUUGGGGAACCUGGGUGAUCUGUUAGGUAUGCGUGUUAACCUGAGCACCGCCUAUCACCCACAGACCGAUGGACAGACAGAACGUACGAAUAGCACUCUUGGCAAUAUGUUGUGCAAUUAUGCCGGACGUACACCUUCUGUCUGGGACACAUAUCUAACUGCUGCUGAAUUCACGAUUAACAAUGCUGUGAAUCGCGCGACUGGCAAAAGUCAGUUUUUCCUGAAUUACGGAUACAACCCUGCCUUGCCUGUUUGGCGGGAGUUGGAUGUCAACUUGCCUGCAGCAAAGACGUUUGCCAAGUCCUUUGUGUCCCGACUGACUGAUGCUAAAUCUUGCCUUGAAGCUGCACAGCAACGUACGGCGGACUACUUUAACAAAUCCCGACAUGCCAUCUCGCAGGACCAGUUGGUGAUGCUGAGCACUAAGAACCUGAGGUCCUUAGCGGAUGGUUCUCGUAAGCUUUUACCUCGUUGGGUGGGACCAUUUCCUGUCGUUCGCAUGGUUGGGUCUACUGCAGUCGAGCUGCAACUACCGCCUGACAUGCGCAUCCACCCCACAUUCCAUGUCUUUCCGUACUACUGACUCUGCUGAUGCGCUUCAGCCAAAACCUGCUCCUACUGUCACGGAGCCAGGACCAGUUACUUGGCUUUCAGGCAAGCAGACAUUUUACUGGAUUACCAUAAGCACACUGUGCACGAGUAUCUUGUCAAAUGGGCAGGGUAUUUGGCUGAGCACAACAGUUGGGAACCAGAAGCUAACUUUACCCCUGAUCUGAAAUCUCUGCUGGAAGAAGCACGGCAACGAGCACAGGCAAGGUAAGAUUUGCGGGUUAAAGGUAAGCAUUUAGCUCCCCAUUCUGCUCUGCCAGUUUCUUACCAUGCAUCAAGGACGCUGCACUAGAGGGGGGAUAGUUGUUGUAUUCCGCUUCUUAAAUUUGGUCCCAAAUUGAUACAUUUUCUGUCCAGUUUUUCCUUUCUCACUUGGUGCGGUUACUGGACAAGUUCGCUGGAACUAACUGAAUUCCAACUGCCUUGGUGGAAUACCGGGUUUGGCGACUCAGAGAGCGAUUAUCACGAAAAAUAAAAUGUAGCUGAACCAACUGGACUGACUCUGUGCCUGAAAAAUCUAAAGAGGCUAGGUGCAUGUGAAUCCGGCACAUGACGUGACAUGGACUGGUCACCCACUGCCCGAGGGUAGGAGAAGGUAGGCACAGGCUGGUGGUAUACGUGGUAUAUGUGGACGUAAAGGGCCCGAGACGGAUCCCUUCAAAGGGGGGGGAUGUAGUAGUUAGUACACAGUACGGCCCUACAAAUACGCGCGAAGUGUGACCACCAGCAUCUCGAGAGGCCUUUUCAGCGGCCAGCUAUUACAGUCCAUAUGGCAUAUAAUUAUCACUCUUUAGAUUGGAACAAAACAUGAACACAUAGCCAGCAUAUGACCAUUGGGAACAUGACUGCAUUUACACACAAGAGUGGCAAUUCAUGAUGGGUCAUGCAGCAUAAGGAGAAUGACAACGUUUCAUGACCACGACUAUGCCUCAUGACCGGUAGCAUGACCGGUCAUGAGGCAACAUAAUCAGGUCUAUGACCACAUCCAUGACCAAGUCGUUCCCCGAGUAAUUCCACCAAGACGGACACCCCAGCACCACACCACAUCUUAUACCAGACGUGUUGUGGCACACUUGCAUAUUAACCCUCGGAUCUUUCCCCAAUUCUCUGGCACUUUGCCGCUGGGCAAUAUCUUCGCUCUUACUUGGUUAACCAUUGGGCACUUGCCUAUCUCUAAUUGGGCGCUGGCCCAUCUUUAAGCGGGCACUUGCCUGUCUUUAUCACGCGUGAUACUGGAUUAUAGCGCUCUUGCUAUAAUCGUGACACUUGUCACUGGUAGACCCACUUGGGUUAUGAUUGCACCGAUUGGUGAUAACUCGCGUUGACGACUAUAUCUUCAGACCGUACAGACUUCUGUACGGGUCAUCCUAACGCAGAGGCAUUUAGCCUCUUCUCAUUCACUAAUCGGUAGUUUUCACUACCACCUAAACAGUGGAAGUGGAUACAACAAGUGGUAUCGAGACGUUCGGUCUCGACCUGCUCUUCCGCGCCAAUCUCGAUUGUUAGUAAAGGUCAUAGGCUUACAGUGUUGGAGCGCUCGUGGCGGCUCUUCAGGGUAAGUGAAAGAUCGUAAUCAUCUGUAUUGUUUUGUCCUUGGUUGCCUCGCUCAUUGUUGUUGCAGAGGUUAGAACGGGUGUUCUGGACCCGACUGAGGUAGAGCCGCUGCUUCAAGCUCUUCCCCUAUCCGCGGCAGUGACUGCAUCAUUGCUGUAUAAGGGUAGGCCCUUCUUAGUUAGCUAAAAUGCUUAGCACCGCCCCGUUUAAUUUGGGCGGCGACCAUAAUGGUGUAGACAUGGCGUCGGGCGCACCUGAUGCUCGUUCCACUUUGCCUGCCUACGCUGUUGCGGGACUUGUUCCCGAUCCUGGUGCACCUAGUACGUCUAGAGGUUCGAUCGGCGCUACUGAGGUGCCAGUUUCCGUUCGCCAACCUGAUGCGUGAACACCAUUCUCAACUUUUGCCGCAGCACCUUUGUUGCAGUUGCCCACUGGGGCUGCCGAGAAUGUUCGGUUAAGGCCACUUGGUCCUACUGGUGACGAACGUCUCCACUCCUUGCCUUCUUUGGCCCCUUUUGCUCUGCGCCAUCCGCUUAACACUCCCAUGAAUCGUCCGGAUGUUCCAAUGGUGAUACCAGAAACCCCGACGACAGAUGCGGACCACCGUGCUGCGGCUGCGCGUGCGUUAGCGGUGGAAGCUGCUGCUGCUGCUGCUGCGGUAGUCACAGCCGAGCCAGAGCCUUUGCCUGCGGUUCGGCCAAUUUCUUCGGCCGACCUCCCGCGGGUUAGUUUACCGACUCCUGUUUUGCAACUAGAUGCCAAGCUUGAUGUGAAGCAGACUGCUGCUCGAGUAAAGGUGUUUAUUCGCAACGCGUCUUUGUUUUUCGAAAUCGUGCCCUGGGGUAGGGACCAUCGGUCAUGCUGCCUGUUUUUGUCGCAAGCGCUCCGUGGCGUUGCAAAAACGUGGUAUGACGAGUGGUCUCUAUCGCAGCGCGAGCUUACUGCUCAGCUUGUUCUGGAUAACCUGCGCACGCGUUUUGCUCCUCAGGUUAUCUCUGUAGAACAAGAAGCACGAAGUAGGCUUUCUGACAAAUCUUUUGCGAUGCACGCUGGUGAAAGUGUACCAGCUUACCUUUCGCGUCUUGAGGCCGUUUUCCAAGACAUACCCACGAUCACUCCUAGUGAGCGUAUGUUUUGGUAUUUCGAAGGCCUUUCUUCUUCCCUGCAGCCCCAUUGCGCCACAGACGUCUAUGGAAAGCCGUUUGCCUCUUACGACGCCCUGGUACAGCAUGCCUUGGGCCAGGAAGUGCGAGCCCUGUCUGAACGAAAAGUUCGUCCUGCUCUUCGUUCGAAUUCCGUUGCUUUGCAGGAAUUCGACGGGGACCAGCCCCCGUUCAAGAGGGCGCGCGUGGACUCCGGCCCUCGUCCAGCUGCGGCUGUUGCGGGUACCUCCUGGCAGCCGGGACGCGGAAGUGUUCCUGGGUGAAGUAGUCGCGGGGGCAGAACGGGUCCGCGUGGUGGGCGCGGUGACAGGGUUCGCGGCACUGACCACCCUAGCGAAUCCGCCGGUGGAGAGCCCGUCGUUCCGUUGUCUAAAGCUUGCGAGUUGACCAAGUGGGUCAACCAGUUUGGUCGUAAGUUGACGCACGGGGACGUGGGAAUUCUCCGACGGCGCAUGGGCGGUAAGGCCAUCUCAAGAGGUUGCGUGAAGCGGGGCUGUACUAGGAAUUUGCUCAGGGCGGUAUUGAGGGAUAUUCCCUGAGUUUCCUUUUGCGGGGAUUCGUUCUUUGGUCCGCGCGGUUAGACCCGCUACGUUGGCAGAGUUUGAGACGCCGUUUUUCUUUCGACACCGUUGCUGUCAAACCGGGCUUUGACUCGGAAUGUAACAUAACGGUUCCUCGUGGUCGCUCUCUCUGCUCGGUCGACGUUGGUGGUCAUACUGUGCUUUUUGUCCCUGCAUCCCUCACUCAAUUGCAUGUUUUGCUUCGGCACUACCUUGCAUGCAAGCACCGCCGUCCUGAUACCGCGGCCGGCAUUUUGCUACCUUCACAUAUCUCUCGGCGGGCUUCAACGUUGCUAGCAGGUAUGCGCCGAGUGCUUAUGUUUCCUGCGAAGUCCGUCCUUUGCAACGGCCUUUCGCUUGAGGGUAAAACAGUAGAGCUUCCUGGUAUUCCGUAUCCUGCUGAGUUGUGGUACGAUGCACCUUCACCUUGUCUCUCUGUUGCCCGGGAGCCCUUUGCUUCCUCUCUUUGCGCAGUUGCCUCCGGUUCUGUGGACACACGAGUUGCUUUGCCUCUGGUGUCUCUGCGGACUGGUGGCCAAACGUUUUCGGCAUUGGUGGACACAGGCGCUACUCACGACUUUAUUAGUGAGUCCCUUGUUCAACGGCUACACCUCCCGGUCCACUCUUCGGACUGGUCCCACGUUUCGCUCGCUGAUGGAGGUAGGCAAGCUAUCGUGGGUCAGGUGUCGUUUCGCGUGGCAGUCGGGUCUUUGUACCUAACCGUCUCACCAUACGUUUUGCCGUCCUUGACUGAUGCUGCUCCUUUUAUUCUGGGGUCUGAUACUUUGCGUAAGCACUCUGCAUCCCUGGAUUUUCAGAACAAUAUUUUGCGUUUGUCAAAGGGUACUGUUCGGUACUCAAUUCCUUGGCGCGCGUCUUCUAAUGAUUCAGGUGACAGUGGUGCUACCUCGUCGGCGCCCCUUGUUAAUUUUGCGGCUGCGGCCAUGUGUGCGCACGCCACCCCUGAGUCUAUUGGUCGUAAGGCUGCUAUGCGUCUUAUUCGCAAGGGGGCACAUGCUUUGCUGGUUCGUCCUUCAGUUAGCCUUAACGCCACUUCUGUGAUUCCUCCCACUCAGGACCCUGAAGUUUCCGCACUGCUUGAGGAAUACGCUGAUGUUUUCCGGGAGAUCCCGGGUAUUCCUCCAGUUCGUCCAGUGGAUCACACAAUCCCGUUGGUGCCUGACGCCCAACCCGUCGCACGCCCUAUGUACCGACUUAGCCCUCUUGAGCUUGAUGAGGUCAAACGGCAGGUUACUGAGCUGCUUGCUAAAGGAAUGAUUCGUCCGAGUACGUCUCCCUUCUCUGCCCCGAUCUUGUUUGUGGGUAAGAAGGACGGUUCCCUACGCAUGUGCAUAGAUUACCGUGGAUUGAAUUCCAUGACCACUAAGAAUCGGUACCCUCUUCCGCGUGUAGACGAUUUGCUCGAUAAGCUUCGCGGGUCUGCUUACUUUAGCUCUAUAGAUCUGCAGCAGGGAUAUAAUCAGAUUCGCAUUGCUGAGUCUGACAUUCCUAAAACCGCUUUCCGCACUCCUUUCGGUCACUUUGAGUACACGGUUUUGAGCUUCGGCCUUGUUAACGCUCCUGCUACUUUUCAAGCCGUAAUUGACCGUAUGUUCAGGCCGUACAUCGAUAAGUUUGUCGUGUGCUACCUGGACGAUAUCCUCGUCUAUUCCAAAACGAAGGAAGAGCACCUCCAACAUCUUCGUUUGGUGCUCGACGUUUUGCGGCGGGAACAGCUUUACGCCAAGCAGUCCAAGUGCCACUGGGCGAAGUCCGAAGUUGAGUAUCUGGGUCAUGUGGUUUCCGUUGACGGGGUUCGCAUGGACCCUAAGAAGACUGCUGCGGUGCGUGACUGGCCUGUCCCGACGUCCUUGCUUGAGCUGCGAAAGUUCCUAGGGCUUACCAAUUACUUUCGCAAGUUUAUAGCCAAUUACUCGUCUCUCGCCGCGCCGUUGACGAGUCUUACACGCAAGGGUGCGUUUUCUUCCGCUGACGUCUGGACUGCUGAAUGUCAGGCGUCUUUUGAGGCUAUAAAACGUGCCGUUUCGGACGAUAUAGUGCUGCGUUUUCCCGAUUACUCUCAGCCUUUCCGUGUUGAGCUUAUUUCCGACGCCUCGCUGCACGGUACGGGGGCAGUUUUGCUUCAGAACGGUCAUCCUGUCGUGUUUUCCAGCAAGAAGUUUUCUGCUGCCGAACGCGGCUACACCACGGGUGAACAAGAGCUACUAGCCGUUGUUCACACCUUGCGUGAAUGGCGCUGCUGUCUUGAGGGACGCCCGUUCGUUGUCAAAACUGACCACAAGCCUCUAACCUUUCUGCAAGGUGUUCCGACUCUUAACCGCCGCCAGGCGCGGUGGUUAGAAUAUAUGCAGCGUUUUAACUUCACUUGGGAACAUGUGUCCGGUUCCGUUAACGUUGCUGAUGCUUUGAGUCGCCACCCUUCCUUGCACUCUGUCGUCCUGUCGGUUGUGACUCGACGUCAGUCUGCGGCUGCUGAUUUGACGAUUUCUGCUUUUGCCAAACGAAUCGUGGACGGAUACAAAACCGACCCUUGGUUCAACGAUCCCAAUAACGUCGAGCAAUUGACCCGUGUCCAGGGUCUCUGGGUUCGCACUGAUGGUGAUCGACGUCAAACGGUUGUCCCUAAUGAUGAUUUGCUUCGCCGUGAUAUCCUUUACCGUGUGCAUCAGGAUCCACUUUCCGGUCAUGUGGGUUCUACUCGCCUUAUUGAGUUGCUACGUCGCAACUUCUGGUGGCCACGGAUGGCUCGUGAUGCUGCUUCCUUUGUUGAGCAGUGUGACGUUUGCCAACGGCAGAAGCCGAAAUCUGGUAAGCAAUCGGGCUUGCUUCAGCCCUUGCCGAUUCCAGACUCGCCUUGGGAGAGUGUGUCGCUUGACUAUGUCGUCGCACUUCCUCUUUCCGAGGGGGGAUACGACGCUGUCCUCGUCAUUGUUGACCGCUUGAACAAGAUGGUACAUUUGGUACCGACCACCACGACAGUUACCGCGGAGCAAACCGCUCGACUGUUCUUUGAUAACGUGGUGCGUCUGCAUGGUGUUCCCAAACAGAUUAUUUCUGAUAGAGGACCUCAGUUUGGUGCCAAGUUUUGGGGAGCCCUUGGCACUUUGGCUAAUUUCCGAGUAAGCCUUUCUACUGCCUAUCAUCCACAAACUGACGGUCAGACUGAGCGAAUGAAUCGCACUUUGGGUGAUAUGCUGCGAACUUACGCUGGCAACAACCCUCGUGUUUGGGACACCUAUCUUUCGGCUGCAGAAUUCGCGAUGAACAACGCUGUCAAUCGCUCUACGGGACAAUCUCCUUUCUUCUUAAAUUACGGGUUCCACCCAGCUACUCCCGUCUCACGUGAACUUGAUGUUCCGGUCCCGGCAGCCAAAUCCUUUAUUAAGUCGUACGUUGCUCGUAUUGCAGAAGCGAAGCAGUGUCUGGAAAAAGCCAUUACGACUAACUAUUACAACCGUGGCAGAGCCGAAGUUACCUUCAAGGAAGGCGACUUAGUGCUUUUAAGUACGAAAAAUCUGCGGCAGUUAGCCGUCGGACCUCGUAAAUUAUUGCCGCGGUGGGUGGGUCCUUACCCUGUGAAGCGCAUGGUUGGCAAAGCAGCGGCCGAGCUUGUCCUACCGUCUGAUAUGCGCAUCCACCCCACCUUCCACGUAACAUUGUUGCGGCCUUACAAGGCGCCAGCGGAUGCGUUGGAUUCUUCAACUGUUCGCGACAGUUCUUCUGCACUUUCUAGUCCUGCAGGACCGCCGCCGGUUCAGUGGCUGAAGAGCGAUCCACUUUACUCGGUCGAGCGCAUACUGGAUUAUCGUGCCCGCCGCCUAGGAAGACGCCGUAAGGGGCUGGUGCACGAGUACCUCGUCAAAUGGACCGGGUAUUCCAAUGAACAUAAUAGCUGGGAGCCAGAGAAAAACUUUACCGACCUUCGCCCCGAACUUCAAGCAGUUAAGGCUCGUGCCACUAAAGCUGCGAGGAUGCUGCGUCCUGAGGGGGGAUAGUUGUUGUGGCACACUUGCAUAUUAACCCUCGGAUCUUUCCCCAAUUCUCUGGCACUUUGCCGCUGGGCAAUAUCUUCGCUCUUACUUGGUUAACCAUUGGGCACUUGCCUAUCUCUAAUUGGGCGCUGGCCCAUCUUUAAGCGGGCACUUGCCUGUCUUUAUCACGCGUGAUACUGCAUUAUAGCGCUCUUGCUAUAAUCGUGACACUUGUCACUGGUAGACCCACUUGGGUUACGAUUGCACCGAUUGGUGAUAAUUCGCGUUGACGACUAUAUCUUCGGACCGUACAGACUUCUGUACGGGUCGUCCUAACGCAGAGGCAUUUAGCCUCUUCUCAUUCACUAAUCGGUAGUUUUCACUACCACCUAAACAGUGGAAGUGGAUACAACAAGACGUUACCUAUCACACAUAUUGUGCAUAUAUUAUACAAGCAUAUAUUUGAAACUACUAAUAGGUAUAAACGGUGAACACUGCCUGUACGGCAGUGUUUGGCAUAAUAAGUAGAUUUUGCCUCAUUUCUGCCUCAUUGCCUGAACCAAUUGAAUAUUAAAUAUGGGGGCCCUGGUGAAGCAGCUGACCGCGUUAUAGAUGUGGAAGGUGCCGAAGUACGUCGGUGAAACAUAAUGUGGCAGGACUGGAGAGAAUAGUGCAGCAGUCUAUUGUGAGUGUAGUUGAAGCGUUACAAGGCGUAAUUUACGUGCAUACCUUUCACGUCACGUUGCAAGCUAAGCAACGCGUAUACAUGACGUGUAGCAUCAGUCCUCAGUUCACUUCUUGUAACGAACAUCAGCAUAGGUCCAAGCCCUCUCGCUUGGAGGGAUAUGCAAACAAACAUCAUGAUAGGUGAUCUCGCACGCUACCGAGCAUUCAACCGAGCACGCUACGAGCAGUCCUUGUAAGGAGCAGCAUACCACUCACGGCCGUAUACGCAGCAAAAAGCGGCCAUCAGCAGCGUCCAUGUCACCGACAUGGCUCUGAACGACUUUUCUGUUUUUAUGUUUAAUUAAGUUUGUGUAUGUUAUAUUUUGUGCCAGUUUGUAGUUUGACUAUACUCUGAACAAGGUGCUGAAUGCGUUGCGCUACCAAAAGCGUGUCUCUUUGCUUGCACAAAAAUGCCGCUUCGCCAAACGCUUCCUCUUCCCUCGGCCGUUUCAUGCGCCCAGUCUUGCAAGCUACAUUGUUUGCUUUCGGUGCUUUCAGUUCCGGCAAAGCAGCCACCAAAAUGUCCGGCCUGCAUACCGCGUGCGUCUGUGGCCAACAUGCCCUCCUGCACAACGCGCUGGCACACGGCGGCCUUUCGCCAAAAAAAAUGACAUACACUUGUACACGCGCAUUUUGAGAAUCGCACGCGCGCCUUCGCGCGGUAAAAUUUGCUCAUUGCUUUUUGGGCGUCUUGUACGGAUGUUUUAUUCGGCACAGUAAGACCGGACACAAUUGUGCAGGGAACGAGCCGAAACUUGACCAGGUCUGCGGAAACUUUUCGUAAUCGGGAGGCCCUUUGCGGAAAGGCUGCGGAAACCGCGGAAAGCUGCGAAAACUAUAAAAUGAAUAUGUAACAAUGUUUUUUAGCUCUUCUCAGUGUGGCGAUAACUUGGACAGUCUGACACAAGCUUGUGGCAGUGCGGUUCUGUCCGGUGGGAUCUAGAAUCUGGUGGAUUCCAAUCGUGCUCGAAGGUAGAGCCAUCUAAACGUAUUACUGGGGGUGGCGGGGGCCAAGCGAUCAACUAUUGUGUGCCCACACCCUUGACGGUGUUCACCCUGCCCCCUUCAAGCAGCCCGCCUCUCUUUGAACCCUGAGACCCCAGGCCUGAGCAGCCCUAUCGUAUACCACCCCCAUAGUGUUGUUGGCUGACGGAUUGCUCUGGGAUGCUCAGAAAUUGCCACUCGUAUGUUACAUGGGGUAAGGGCCCGGGGAGCCCUGAAACACUGAAUAAUAAUCGUCUCCCUGUCCGUUGCGGAGCAGUGACAUGUCUGCAUGCCUACUCCGCAUACCCGUCCGGCAUGUCUGCAUGCCUCACGGACAAGUCUAUGCUGACUGUGCAUUAAUCCAGUAAUCGUCCAAACAAUAUGAAUUCAAAAUAAAAAAAAUAAAAAGGAAUAAAAAAAGCGAGAGGGCUAAAGUAUCUAAAAAUGGCACCGCACAACGAUAACUGCAACGACGUGGCUCUGUUCAACUUCAACCACGUUUACGGACAUUGUGGAAUCAAUUAUCAAAAACCCUUCUUCUGAGCAGAAACACAGUCAAUCUCUAUGACUUCGGCAGCCCCCAGGUCGGGGUCAGUGGUUGCUGACAUUUGACUUAAUCUAAUAACUCCAUAGUGUAAAACGCAGUCUUUAAAUGGCAAACGCAUGCCUGGAAUCUGUUUUUCAAUUUCCGCCGUACAGCAAACGCGGAAAUGCGGAUUCUCUUUCCGCAUUUCCGCCAAUCUGGGCUUCGCUGCGGAAAGCGUGACGAAACCUGUUUACGCAGGUUUCCGUUUCCGCAGGUUUCCGUUUCGGCUCGUUCCCUGCAAUUGUGCGAGGGGCUGCUUAACUAGGGUUGGCACGGGUACUAUACUAGAAAAUAGUGCUUUAUGAGAAUACUAGGAAUAGUACUAUAUACUAUGCGGGGCUUGACAGUGGCACUAGUUUACGAUGCUCGUCCCCGUGUCCGUUCAUAGUAAACUAGCUUAGUAAAAAUAGUACUAUGUAUUACUAGAUAUGAGCUUGGAUAUUGUCAAGUAUUAAUUGGACCAAGUAGAGAUCUGCGGUCAAGCUGUAGUUUGAAGGGCCAUACUCGUGCCUAGGAACCUCGAUGAAUGGUUUGUGAUGAAUAAUGUCGAGGGAUUCUAGUAUAAAGAAUGGCAAGGCGCUCAGAGGUUUGCAGCCUGGCGCCGACGUCCCCCCUGACGUCCACCGCGCCGGCACGAGAUGUUUAAGAAGCUAAAGACGCAGAAGAUUAAUAUUAGGGUGGGUGGUCUUUGGGACAACUUCGAUGUGGAAUAGUGGGCUAGUUUGCCACAGCUAGUCUGCUUGCACUGCGAUGAGCUGCUCAGCCCCGCAAACCCGUCAUUCACUGUUGUAUCACGUCUUAUCGCAGGAAAAGAACCGAUCGGCAGAUGCUAGAUCCCGUGAUACCCAGGAUACUACAUUCACCAGCACGCACCACAUCGAGGUGGUUGCAAGGCCCUCAAGCAGCGCGCUAUACUAUUUGGGUUUUCCAAUAUAGUGUUUUUGCCAACCCUCAUUGAGGUGAAUUUUACCACAGGUAAUAGGCAGAUAAUAUUAUUAACUGCCUAUCAUAAUCGCCCGUGAGUCAACGCGGCAUUGCAGCAUGUAUGACCGGUCCUCACAUAACCAACCCACCAACUCAGUGCAUGAUUCUUGGUCUACGAGGGGAGUUGUAACAUAUUUGGGGGGCGUCUGGUGGGGGCGGAGCACCCCCCAGCGCCUCACAAUUAAGGAACAAAUUAAAUCCAACCCUAGCAACUUUGUUUCUUAGGUUGGAAUACAUUGAGACCCGUCCUAAACGAAAAAAAAACUGGGUCCAUCCGGUAAUCUUACUGGCCCAAUAACCGAGGUAUGGUGAUCUCGGCAAUCAUGUUCAGGAUGGCAUGGCAUGUGAGGGGCUAGUAAGCAUCCGAGCGACAUGCAAGGGUAUGGUGGGAGUGAUGAGCUGGUCAUACAAAGGAAAUUGCGCAGGAUUGCUUGCAUGUGUGCAGACGCAAGCGUGUUCCCAGGCAUACUUGGUUUAUAGACCUAUGGUAUACAUGGAAUGGUCUAUAGAUCAUGACUUGAUACAAUGUGGGUUGAGCACCCACUGCUGCCCGAGAAUAUAGGAGAUGGCAAGUACAGGGCCGGUGAUGCGGAUCCCUUCAAAAAGGGGAGGAAUGUAGUAGCUGCACACAAUACGGCACACAGAUCAACUGUAAAUAUGCGCAGAGGCGCCCCACCAGCAUAUAUGGCCCUUUCAGUGGCUAGCUAUGAUACGCUGACAGCAGGAGAGCGAGUUGCAGGUUGAUGACACAUAGCAAGAUGGGUGUUAUGAUGACAGGCAGACGUUCCAACUUCACAACGUACCAGACGCAGGUUCCACACGUCUUGCGGCACCAGUAGUCCACUACCGACUGGUCGCUGGCGAAGUACCCAGGGCUACAGUAGCCGCUAGAUUUCCAGAAGGAGCAGGAGCUCGCCAGUGGCUCCUGAUCAGCGCAGCUGUGGAUGUACAUGUGCACGUGUGUGUUGCACCGCGGUCACACGCGUGCAAUGUAUGUUAGUCCAUAAACAACCACAUUGAAAGCAGCAAAUAAAACAAGCGAAGCAGUGGUAGGUAUUGAAACCCCAAGUAGCCCCGACUGCAGAAGUAAUGGUGAUAAGCCCACACACACUGCCGGUGCUAACGACAUGAAAGCUAGCGCAAACACAACGACAUCUUUGCUUGUCAUGCUUCAAGCCCCCCACAUAUGCACACUUCGCAUGCAGGCAUGGAUACACACAGAAAACGGUGAAGGCGCUAGCAUUGCAAUCAUGUACAUGAUGUGCUGGACCUGGUCCAUCAUGGACAGUUCCUGCGAUCUGGGCUAGAGGACACAUGCACCCAUACAGCUAAAUUAACUCGAUGGUUCGUCGGUGCGUUUGUGCCUACAUUGAGGGGGGUGAUGGAGACACCAAGGGUCGCGGAGGCGGUCGUGGUGAUGGCUGCGGUGGUGGCCGUCGUGGUGGUGGUGGUGAUGGUCGUGGUGACGGUGGUGGUCGCCAUGGCGGGGGCGGGGGAGUUGCUUGUACUGGUCUUGGAAAUGGCCUAGGUGAUGGUGGCUUGGGAGGAGGUGGCUUGGGAGAAGGUGGCUUGGAAGAAGGUGGCUUGGGAGAAGGUGGCUUGGGUGGCCUGGGUGAAGGCCGCCGCUGAGGCGCCUGCAGAGGCGGAGUUGUGGCCCGCAAGCGACGUGUAGAGCCCGCAAGCAUGUGAGUGCUCAGCUGACGAAGUCCCUCAGCGCGAUGGCCACUAUCAGCGACAUCAGCAGCCUGUAGGUAUGCGGCGGAGGGUCAUCGCGUAAGCAAUUGCAAGGCCUUCGGCGCCUCAGAAAAGAAAUUUUAUGACGAAACGUUUUCUCCUCAACUCGUAUUCUGUAUAUGCAUGGUCCUCCCUGUCUAUAUAAAAAUAUAUAAUGCGCACCUUGGUUAUUACAGGGCUGCUGCUAACGGAUGCCGCAAGGGCCCCGCCGAUCAGCAGCAGAACGAGCGGCGACAUAACAGCUGAACACAACUGAGGGGGUGUUUCCACUUGGGUUAAAAGUCGCGGAUUAACGAUUAAUCCGUCGCAUAUGGAAACACCUCGCGGAUAAGGACGGAUUAGGCGGAUUAAGGUUAUGGAUUAGUUAGAGAUGUACGCCCGUAUUCACGCACUUCGUGGAUUAAAUAUAGAUUAAUAUGUUAUGAAAUGCGCGCAUUCUUCCUAUGAUAAAAGCUCAAACUUGGUGGGAAAAAAUUGCUACCCGGGCCCCUCCAGGACCUGGUAUCAAAUUGACAAUCUGGUAUUAGUUGUUGCUCCAAGAGAGAUUGCCAUUGCCAUUUUUGUUACAGGGAUGCUGUGCCAAGGAGGCCUAAGCUCAAGUGGACCCCGCCCGGCCGUCAGGGCGAUGGAUUCAGGGUGAUGACCUGGAUCCACUUCGCCUUGCACUUUUUGAUACAGGGCGAUGGAUGACGUACAACAAAGGUCACACUUGGCAAGAGAACAUAAGCCUGCCAACUGAGAACAAUUCAGUAUUCCUUUAAUGAAUAAAAGGAACAGAAUGUUGCCAAAACAAUCAGUGUUGGAAAACAUAGGUGGCGCCGCAAUGCUCACCCUCUGAUCUACAUAAAGCCUUGAGGAAUCAUAAGACAUGAUUGGAUGGCGUACCAGUAACUUUAGUACUCAGUCCAUUGCUGGCACAGCAAGCUGACGCAUGGAUGCGCGGGAAGCCCAUGACCCAAUCUCUUGCCGUUUCGGACAUAGGGACCGUAUAGGCUUAAUGCCAGCGUCACGCUUUCAAAGAAGCGGACGUGGAUAGCGAAGGGUCCCUAUGCGCGGCAUCCUUUGAUAGCGAGACGAGCACGCUCGCUAGUAGCGUGCGUCCUUUUACAGACGUGACGUAUCGCGUGCGUCUUUUUAUGCGUUCGUGAUAAGACGCGAAUACAUGUUGCAGUCAAUAUUCAUCAUGUCCCAUUGCAGAAGCUAGCUGCAUGUGGGAAACUCCGAUUCUGCGUUCGUGGGUUAGCUCACCGGUAACACCAGACAUGCAUAUCUACCAGAACUCACGACGCAUGGUAGAAUCAUUUACUGAUGGCCCUGAAACGUGUAGUUAGAUCAUGAGGAUCAUUAAUCUAGGAGAGGGUCCUAUCUCCAUCGCUAAAAUUCUCUUCAGACCACGCAAAAUGACAAGGACACGAAAACUAACCCACGAGCAAAGUUCAGCAGCAAACGAGGAUGGUAUAUCGAAUCGAUGAUCCACUCGUUGGCCUCGUCAGGGUUGGGUUAGAAGCUCGCGCAACCCCGAUGGCCAGGUAAAGGACCUCUACUAAACACCACCAAAACUGAACAAUAUCUUACCAACAUUCAUACAACGAACGUUAUCGACCUAUGUUUCGCAUCCCUUAUGCCAUGCAAGGGCGCCCAUGUGCAUGACUCCCACUCCAUUCUUAUAAAAGCCUCUUCGUGUAAAGCCGCACCCCUUGCUUACAACAAGCAAAUCAACGGUUUGUUCCAGCAUUCUUGAUUGAAUUUAAGCCUAUACGGUCCCUAUGUCCGAAACGGCAAGAGAUUGGGUCAUGGGCUUCCCGCGCAUCCAUGCGUCAGCUUGCUGUGCCAGCAAUGGACUGAGUACUAAAGUUACUGGUACGCCAUCCAAUCAUGUCUUAUGAUUCCUCAAGGCUUUAUGUAGAUCAGAGGGUGAGCAUUGCGGCGCCACCUAUGUUUUCCAACACUGAUUGUUUUGGCAGCAUUCUGUUCCUUUUAUUCAUUAAAGGAAUACUGAAUUGUUCUCAGUUGGCAGGCUUAUGUUCUCUUGCCAAGUGUGACCUUUGUUGUACGUCAUCCAUCGCCCUGUAUCAAAAAGUGCAAGGCGAAGUGGAUCCAGGUCAUCGCCCUGAAUCCAUCGCCCUGACGGCCGGGCGGGCAAGUGGACGGCCUUACGAAACCAAAGAAAAAAUACCCAUGAGCAACGACGCGGGCGACGCAGACAGGGACUGGCGGGCGGGAGCGCGCUGAACAACAAAAAUAAGAUGAGGAACAGAAUCCAAGUGCGUUACUUAUACGGCCCUGAGGACACGGGCCGUGGCGAAGCAACCGAAAUGCUUGCAUCGCCCAAGGGCCUUACGCCAACUAACCUGGCUUCUGGCUUCCGCAACGCAAGCCCGCAUUAACAUUUUUUACGACGUCUCGUAAAGCCUGAUUAAUGCACUAGAAGAUUAUCUCUUAUUUACAUUGUAGGUGUGCCUAGCAUCCUGAAAGCUGAAAGCUUCCUUGCCGCUAUUAUGAACACCACCGCGUGCGUCGCGGAGCCAAUGGUACCGUCCUACUGACACAUGCUCAACAUUCUGCAAGGCCUUUGGCCAAGCGCAACGCUGGCUUUGACCCGCAAGGGGUCCGUAGCAGUGCAGCCGGCAAUGGCCGCCAACAACAGUCUGUUGCGGUCUUCGCCCUUCAUUCUUAUAGUCUAUGGUUCUAAAUAGUCUAUAAUAUCUUAAACGAUACUCUCUUUUACGUUUAAUGCACCAAUAAUAAGCACCGGUAACUGUCGUGCUUAAUCCGUAUCUUAAUCCAUACGCGUAUGAAACACUCCGAGGGAUUAGCGGUGGAUUGGUGCGGAUUAAGAAAAGCUUAAUCCGCGAAUUUUAAUCCAAGUGGAAACACAGCCUGAUGCCCAACACUUGUGCACUAAAAUGUUAGGCUGAAAGUGUGCUUUAAGUGUGAUCCUACCGCGGGGAUGCCGAUUGUUACAGUGGACCCCGAACGGUCGAGUUCCCCGAACGGGAAUCCGCUCCCGGAAAGGCAGGGCACGGACGAGCACGUAUGUGGCAGGAAUUCACACUUUUCGAUAGAAAGGGAAGAACGACAUUAUGAGGCCUAUGAAUAGCAUGAUGAAACUCAUUGAAACGCUGAGUGGAUAUAUUCUAUGUUAGGAAAACGGGUAUCGGAAGAGGCAGAGAUUCGACAGUGCCUAGGUUGGCAAAGAGGGUCUUUCCAUUGGCUGGUCGUAAAUUUUCGUAAAUUUUCCUUAAGGCGACAUGACUUCCGAGAAUGUGCAAAAAACAAGCGUAGGUGGUGAGAAAGUUAGAGUCCUUGAUACCCACUCUGUAACAUCCUGAAAACUGACCACACUACUACUCUACGAACUACCUCAGGUAGUCUACCUGGCAAACCCCAAGCCACGCAAUGCUGUGUCGGCCCCCGCUCAGGCAGCCCGCACCAGAACGUUGUUCCAGUCCGAGGCCGCCCUUAUCCGUGUCAGGCAGGCGGGGCAAGGUGUCAAGGCGGGAGCUUGUCUGGCGGGGCUAUGUCUCGCUCAUAGCAGCACCUCACCAGAUCACCACCCCAUCAUGCACACUACCACUGCAAGACCACCCGCGCCUACGAUGGCUUCGGUUCCCGGGCUUACCCUUCCCCACACGAGCGAGCUGGGCAACCAGGUCGUCAUACCCCCGUCCAUCCCUAGCUAUUAGUUAUAGUGUUGUCUGUGUGUCUGUGUGUCUCUGUGUAAUCAGUGCAGUGCAGAACAGUCAUGCAUGGGACGCAAAUACUUUACAUGCAAGGUUCUGCAUCUGGGACAUUUCAUUAGUCGACCACCACACCACGCACUGGCUACACACCGUGCCAGCUAAGUGCAUGGCUGCAUGAUAAGAAGUAUUGACCUGACCGAACGCAGAACUAACCUGCAAAGGAUAUUGCCUCUAUCGCGGUUAACCACGCAAAAUUGCAAUGCCUUGCGUAAUCUCCUAGACACGACUGAGGAUGAUGAGCCAUGGAUGUGAAAAACCGCAAACCGGGCAAGGGACCGCUCCAUCACAGGAUCAGCUGGCUCCCGUACAUACGGAGCAUGUUUACGAUCGACCUAUUGGCAUAAAUCGACCUAGUGGCAUAAAUGGCCGUACAGCGGUAUAAUAUAGAAUUAAGCACAUACAAGUAGUUCCUCGCUUGGUUGCACAUCCGCUUUUUUCCCAGAUGGUGCUCAACCAUAUGACUACUCCUAGGCCGGACACAUCGGCCGUACCUAAGCUGCAAUACAUCACGAGUCAAAGAAGAAAUGGCCCCUGGACACCUCGAUUAGGGCGGCAAUAGUAAUACUAAUUUAUAGGAGUACAUCGGCCCGAGCAUGGUGUGUAUGAGUUGAGGUAGCUUCAUGUCUCUUCAUGCUAAGGGGGAAAUAAACGUGGGCUGCAUUUCUACGCCUGCAGUCCACACUGUACCAUGCCCCGGCGGACACAUGCAUCAUUAGGAGAACUCGCAUAUGGGUGCGGGGCCAGGGGACGCACUCCCCACUUGCAUGCAACGUUGACACAGGAGAGGCACUUGGUUAUGUGCACUCUGGUUGGCCAGCCAGCACCAUUGGCCAGUAUGGAGUCAUACAAUUGACUCCUACGACAUGCGCUUGCUAGCUCGGGUCGCGCUGUACACAUGCACAUGCACUAUGGAGUAGCGGUGGCUUGGGAACGAUUGGAACCUAUAUUUAAGCAAACAACUGCCAUACAUACAGAGACGGCCUUGGGUGUAAUUAAUGGCAUGCACAGCACAAUACAUAUGAUGCCGGUAUAUGGAACUACAUACCGUGCAUGUGGCUGGCAUAAUAUAUAAAUUCGCUGGAUCCCUGGAGCCUUUUGCAAACACGUCCAGAAACCAAUCCAACCAGGAAAUGCGAAAACUCGAUCUGCACCAAAGAACGUGUGUAUCUAAGCACGAAGGUGCGGGGCACCUAUCAAUCUGCGUGGAAUGUGCAUGUACACGCACAUAGUGGAGAUGGAACAGAAUGCCUGGCUGGCGUGUUUUUAGGUGGAUGAAGUAGUGGUGGGGCAUGUGCAUGUAUUACCGUGGGUUUGCGUUCCGUGUUUGUUACUAAGCAACGGACGUAAUGACCACCUGUCCAUCGCUGUCACUGCCGGUGGGCAGCACGUCGUCAACAGAAGCGACGUCCACUUCAAGUGAUCGGCGGGCAGAGACGGGGGGAAGGACGUUCGCCAGAAAGUUGCUAUCUCCAAUAAUAUUUCCCGGUGGUGCAUACCGGCAACUAACCACGUAACAGUUCGUGCCCCGCACUGCACCACAGCCAACUUGCGCUGUCGAAGCCCACACAACUUGAGUGAAGUGCCCAAUACUCGAGAAUGUAUUGUCAGUGUACGGUGUGCUCGUGAACUUGUACAGCGAAAUUUCGCCGUACCAUGCGUCCACUGCCCUACUGCAAUUGAGGGGAGAUGUCUGGCUUGAGGUCGACGCCAUGUACAAAUUCUCGCCGGCGACUCCUUCGUGAUACAAACCGCAGCUGUUGUUUAGCGCCAGGUUGGCGGCCCAGUUCUGCGUUCGGACGGGUGCAUGGGGAAGGGUACUUGGUGCAGGCCGUGCCGCAGAAGGAGGCCAGGUGACAAACGGAAAGUAAGCUACACGAGGACGGCACGUGCUGUGAACCGCAAACGGCCGCAGCGGCAUACGUGCGUACGAUGUGGAGCUGCAUGCGAUGCUGUCACGAUACGGUUCCCAUGUCUGGGUUCCUCCCAUGCAUCUGUCUAUCUUGCAGGUGUAUUCAACCUAUUGCUACAGCAAUAAUCCGUGGACACAAACACGGAUUUUCAAUCUAGCUGCUAAACACGCUCAUUCAUUGUUGUCUCUUCGUACUGCUCCCAAAACACGCCUGGCUCACAUGCCGGCAGGUGGCAGCUAGGAUUCUUGCAUGACAGGGGUCCGCCCCAUCGCGGGGCAUUCCCCAGCCCCACCUCCCCUAACCGACCGGGAGAUCCCCACCUCGGGGCCCCCGCGAUGUAAACCCCUUCAGGUCCCCUUUUCGUAAGUUGCUCGCUGAUGUGAUGCUUUUCCCCCCACCGCGCGUCGAUAUUCACAAGCAGCAGCUGCUGCACCACGAGAACCACAACCACUACACACGUACUUGUGCGAGCGUACUAACCUUUGCUUGCUGUGCGAGGGUGUUGUUCCAGCCCAGGGCCGGCGACCCGUGCCGUGUACGGUACUGGUUGUGCAGCAGCAGGCUGGCGGCAGGGUCGGCACAGCCUGCAUCGGCGGCAGCAGUGGCGACGCCAACAUUACAGCAGACGACAACAGUGGGGGAGGUUAAGUAGCAAGAACGACAAAAGACAUGUAUUACCGCCGUUGUUCGCGGGGGCAGCACAGGUGGUCCGGUCGGGUCCGGGAUACAGCGUAUGUAACAUUCCCAUUCAUUCAGCUAGUGACAGGCGCAUGAGUAGUUGGUGGUGGCUGCAGACCGCCAUGGCUUCAGGAGAGCCAGUUUAGUUGGGUGGUGAGGACGUAAUAUUGGCGGUUCGUCCGCAAAUCGCCCUUGGCACUAUGUGUAAACCAGUUACGAGUGUAGAAAUAACCAUCUCUGUAUGUGUGCGGGUGUGUGUACAUGCAUGCAUGCAUGCACGUGUGUGUAUGCGUAUGCAUCUAUGUCUGUAUACGGCUGCCAAAAGCGUCUGUUGAAUGAUGAUGAAGGGCGGGCUAUCUGAGCAGCUGCUGCACGGCUAUGAACGUAGCUGCAAGAAUGCAUGUGCUGAUGGGUAUAUAAAUACCGAUAUAUGGAUGGACAUGCACGGUGCAGUGAUUUUUUUUCGUUUAGGACGGGUCUCAAUUUAUUCCAACCUAAGUAACAGAGCUGCUAGGGUUGUCGUUAUUUAUUUCUAAAUUGUUAGGCGCUGGGGGGGGCCCAGACCCCCCCCCAGACCCCCCCCCUAACUUACAACUCCACUGAGUAGGCGUGUUUUCGCUCGUGUGUGCACUCUUCGUGCACAUGCGUAGAUAGUUCUGGCACUUGACCUUCAUACGGCCCCUCAUAUGUAUUCUAUGAUUGAAAAUACUAUCGUUCUGCACCCUAAGAGCAAUCUGGCAGCAAUGGACGUUUUUGGCUGGAGGAAUGAAAAUGUAAGGGUCGGCCUCAAUUCAUUCCUUUUUUCCCAAAGGCCAAAAUGCCUGUUUAUUCCUUUUAAGUAAUAUAUCAUUUAAAAAAACGCUGCAUGCAUACGCCCACCACACAAGUGCACGUGCACGCAUGAGCAUCCUGUUGGGAGUAGGAGCCGCAGUGCGUGAGUGUAACUUGUGUGUGUGUGUGUGUGUGUGUGUGUGUGUGUGUGUGUGUGUGUGUGUGUGUGUGUGUGUGUGUGUGUGUGUGUGUGUGUGUGUGUGUGUGUGUGUGUGCGUGUGUGUUACAUGGUUGGGGGGUGCGUGACCCCAUACCUGUAAAACUACCAUGCGAGCCGAAGGCCCAAGGGCAAGGCAUUGUAAACGCCUAAAAGCCCCGAAGAAAGGGAAACACCGCACUCUCAGCCCAGACUAGCGAGCAAAGGGGAUCACUGAGUGUAACUUGUGACGAUCGUAUACAAUCAGUUGCGCAGCACAGCGGUCCCUAGCUAGCUCACCGCCGAUUAGGGCAUCUCCGGGAAGGGGCGGUGGAAAUGGUGCAUUAGGAGGCCUGCAGCAGCAGCAGCAACCAAAGGAGCAACAACAGCGUUCGUCCGCGUUUCGUUCAGCCUCGGCGGGUCUGACAUGAAAAGCAGGCAUGUCUUCCUCUUAUCAUGUUGCCAGUAUACGGCAUACACCAGCCAAGCAGGAAGCAUGGACCCCCAUUCCUGAGGAACGUGUAAAAACUUCUACAAGUGCAUAUCCGGAAACACGCAGCAAGCAGGCAACAGGCAAGAUGGAGGAAGCCGGAAAGGUGGCAGCAAGGUUGUAAGUUAGCGUGCAUGCAUGCAGCUGGUGUGACGCAUGCAAUCGAUGCAUGUACAGAAACAUACGUACGCGGUGCAGACUCCACACGACUGGCGGCACCAGUAGUCACGGACGGACAAGCCGCCAGAGGUGUACAUGGGAUCACAAUAGCCGUUGUUUUUCCAGUCCGCGCAGUACGACAACUGGUCGACGCAUCUGAGAUGCAUGGGACAGCCGGCAGCCACGGAUCAUCAAGAACGGGGAUGGUCUGUUAAUCAUUUCGCACCACAACUAGCAAGCACCGGACGGAAGCUAGGAAGCUUCCUUGCUGCCUUAAGGCAGAUGACAUUCGGGCACACCCACCCGUCAGGACAGUCAGGCAGCAGGCAGCCAGCGACAAUAUUACCAUUAUUGCAGGAGGUGCUGGAGAACCAUGUACGUGGGAAUAUUAUGCCGAUGGACUUAUACGAACAUGCUUGCCCAGCAGCUGUCUGGCGCCAGCAAGCCACACACCCAUGCGCACAUACCCAGCAGCAGUAUCAUAGUUGAGCGGCCACCAGGCAAUUUACCGCUACCCGCUACCAUAACAUUAUGGCUUACAACGACAGACAUACAUAGCUUGUUUGUCCUAGCUUUCGAGGAACGCUCUGGCUGCGUGUGCGUGGUGGUGCAUGUAAAGUUACACAGCCCAGCAUGGAAGUGCACCGCCCAGCAUGGAUACCUAUAACCUCUCCACCCCUGCCCCCUUGAUAUACCCCGCAAUCCAAGCUCUUUAUCAUUAUUAUAUGUAGCGGUUCGGAACUUGGCCAUCAGCCACCCACGCACUCUGCCCACCCAAGCACUUACGGUGAUGGUGGUGGCCGCGGCGGCGGUGGUGGCGGUGAUGAGAGCGGUGGCCUAGCGACCGACGGAGAUUCGUUCCGUCCGUGAUGUAAAAUAUCACGCACAAGCGAGCGCGAUACAGCGAGGGCACGGGUGAUGAUGUACGUUGCCAGCGAUUUAUAUUGUUGUUGCGCGACAGCAUCAUGGUGGCGUCGGGCCAGAAGGCGCGGCCGUGUGGGGGGCGGGCGGGAUAAUACGAAGCAUAAUCUAAGCAAAUCAGCCAAGCAAGUAGAAAAGAUGGAAGCAUGCGACGGAUGAGCAGGGUUCGGAGCCUUCCGUGCCGAUGUGAAUCAGCGAACGUAUGCAUGCCAAAUGUUCAAAUGAAGCAAAGCAGCAGGCAGGCGCGCACAUGAAGGCCACAUGAAGGCCACAUGGCUAUAUGGCUAUAUGGACAGGGUGGGAAGGCGGCGGGAUAAAGCCAACCUUGCGGAGGGCAUGUUCGAAGCCUGUUUGAAGGAUAGCGCAGUCCAGCUGCAGAUUUUAUUCAUGAGGCAGGUAGUGGGGACGGCACGGCCAUCCCACAGGCUGUUGUAUGCGGAGCUGGCUGAAUUCCCCUUACAAUAUUACAUGGUGAAGCAGAUCCUCCGUUUCUGGAACCGCCUUCAAAAGCAAGUGGGAUCCAUUUCUCAUGCAGUUUUACGGCAGGAGAUAACCGAUGCCCUGACCAACCCGGAAUGGGAGGGUUGGGGAAUCUCAAUGUUACGACUGUUUUCCUUCUUGGAGUGCAACGUUUGGAGUGGAAUACCGCAAGAAGUCGUGGGGGUAAAGGAGCGUGUUGGCUGGUUGUUGAGUAGACCUCUACCCGAAGGAGCGAUGAUAACUGCACUAAGAGAGCGUUUGAUGAGCGGCUGGGACCAUACGCGUCUGACUGUCUUGCCAGAGGAGUACCCAUCAGAUGGGAAGCAACCGGGAAUGCAAAUGGCGAAGUAUAAGCACUGGAUGGGGCUGCCCUUUUCGGGAGCCGCAGCCGUCAUGUGGCCAACACAUGCUAAGGUUUUCAUUUCUCGUUUAGCACAUCGUAAGCUAAUGCAGUUUCGUUUAUGUUGCUGGGCUUUGGAGGCAAACAGAGCACGAAGGGGCAAGUACCAUGUCCCCAGGGGGCAGCGGUUUUGCCACUGUUGUGGUACUAAUAGCCGAAUCGAGGAUGAAAAACACGUGUUAUUGGAAUGCCCAGCCUAUAAUGAUAUUCGUGCUGAUGAGGGAUUCGAUCAUCAACAGAGCAUGUUGGAGGCCAUGAAAUGGGAACCCGCACGUCUUGCGAGGAUGUUGGAACGUAUGUGGGCUCACCGAAACUCAAUUACCCCCUUUGGACGCUAGCCUGGGCUGAUGUGCGGUGUUUUCCUUUCCUCCGUGGCUUUUAGGCGUUGUAGUAUUGCCCUUGGGCCUUCGGCUCGUACGGGUAGUCUUACAGGUAUGGGGUCACGCACCCCCAACCAUGUAACACACACACACACACACAAGGCUAUCUACCGUAUCGCUAUGGCCGAUUGGUGAUUUCUGGAUUGGUGAAAGUAAAAAACGCUUCUAGAAUUAAUCCUUCCAACACCGGAAUUGGUGAUACGGUUUGGUGUUACCCCGUCCACUUUUUCCCAUUGCCACCGAAUUGGUGAAAGCCGCCAACCGGACUGCCCCCCGUUCACUGUGGGCCCUCCGAGGCGCCCCAGGCCCACAUCAACCAAUCUGCAGUCGCAUGUAAACGUUUCUAGAUGCACGCCGACGCAUACAGCAUCGCGCGCGCGCGCAGCAAAGUGACCCUUAAACUCAUGCACAGUUUGUCUAGCCGAACCGGUUCGGCCUAGCUGCUGUCCUGCGGCCUGCCAUGAUGCAACUCUUGCUGACCAAGUAAUAAUUUAUUAAUGUAAUGAUUAUAUAAUGUAAAGUUUGGCAGGAAAUAUUGCUUUAUGUGUGCUUUUCUGCGAGUUAGGCGGUCCGGCACCCGACCUGGAUCCAAAACGUACAGGGAUUGGUGAUGGCCGCCGCUCAAUCCCAGCCCGGAUUAUCCUUUGCUACUGGAUUGGUGAUUUUCACCAAUCCGGUGUCACCAAUCGGCCAUAGCGAUACGGUAUAACACACACAAACAAGUGCAUGUCCGGAAACACGCAGCAAGCAGGCAACAGGCAGGAUGGAGGAAGCCGGAAAGGUGGCAGCAAGGUUGUAAGUUAGCGUGCAUGCAGCAGGUCUAAUACGUACGCAAUAGAUGCAUGUCCAGAAACAUACGUACGCGGUGCAGACUCCACACGUCAGGCGGCACCAGUAGUCACGGACGGACAAGCCGCCAGAGGUGUACGUGGGAUCGCAAUAGCCGCUGUUUUUCCAGUCCGCGCAGUACGACAACUGGUCGACGCAUCUGAGAUGCAUGGGACAGCCGGCAGCCACGGAUCAUCAAGAACGGGGAUGGUCUUGUUUAUGAUUUCGCACCACAACCAACAAGCACCGGACGGAAGCAGGGAAGGCAGAUGGCAUUCGGGCACACCCACCCGUCAGGACAGUCAGGCAACAGGCAGCCAGCGACAAUAUUACCAUGAUUGCUGGAGGUGCUGGAGAACAAUGCACACGGGGAUAUUAUGUUGAUGGACUUAUACGAACAUGCUUGCCCAGCUGCUGGCGGGCACCAGCAAGCCACCCACCCAUGCACACAUACCCAGCAGCAGUAUCAUAGUUGAGCGGUCACCAGGCAAUUUACCGCUACCCGCUACCAUAACAUUAUGGCUUACAACGACAGACAUACAUAGCUUGUUUGUCCUAGCUUCCAAGGAACGCUCUGGAUACGUGUGCGUGGUGGUGCAUGUAAAGUUACACAGCCCAGCAUGGAAGUGCACCGCCCGGCAUAGAUACCCAUAACCUCUCCACCCCUGCCCCCUUGAUAUACCCCUCAAUCCAAGCUCUUUAUCAUGAUUAUAUGUAGUGUUUCGGAACUUGGCCAUCAGCCACCCACGCACUCUGCCCACCCCAGCACUUACGGCGAUGGUGGUGGCCGCGGCGGCGGUGGUGGCGGUGAUGAGAGCGGUGGCCUAGCGACCGACGGAGAUUCGUUCCGUCCGUGAUGUAAAAUAUCACGCACACGCGAGCGUGAUACAGCGAGGGCACGGGUGAUGAUGUACGUUGCCAGCGAUUCAUAUUGUUGUUGCGCGACAGCAUCAUGGUGGCGUCGGGCCAGAAGGCGCGGCCGUGUGGGGGGCGGGCGGGAUAAUACGAAGCAUAAUCUAAGCAAACCAGCCAAGCAAGUUGAAAAGAUGGAAGCAUGCGAUGGAUGAGCAGGUUUCGGAGCCUUCCGUGCCGAUGUGAAUCAGCGAACGUAUGCGUGCCAAAUGUUCAAAUGAAGCAAAGCAGCAGGCAGGCGCGCACAUGAAGGCCACAGGCUACCUAUAACACACACUCACAAGUGCAUGUCCAGAACAUGCAGCAAGCAGGCAACAGGCAGGAUGGAGGAAGCCGGAAAGGUGGCCGCAAGGUUGUAAGUUAGCGUGCACGCAUGGAGGUGGUGUGACGCAUGCAAAAGAUGCAUGUCCAGAAACAUACGUACGCGGUGCAGACUCCACACGACUGGCGGCACCAGUAGUCACGGACGGACAAGCCGCCAGAGGUGUACAUGGGAUCACAAUAGCCGCUGUUUUUCCAGUCCGCGCAGUACGACAACUGGUCGACGCAUCUGAGAUGCAUGGGACAGCCGGCAGCCACGGAUCAUCAAGAACGGGGAUGGUCAUGUUAAUCAUGCCGCACCACAACUAACCAGCACCGGACGGAAGCAAGGCAGGCAGAUGGCAUUCGGGCACACCCACCCGUCAGGACAGUCAGGCAGCAGGCAGCCAGCGGCAAUAUCAUUAUUGCUGGAGGUGCUGGAGAACAAUGCACACGGGAAUAUAAUGCAGGUCACCAGUCAUGGACGGUCCCUACUGCGUGAGCUGGACACAUCAACCACAAAUCUAUACUACCAAUUCAAUUGUCCGUCGGUGCUUACAUUGGGGUCGCUGGCGGGGAAAAUAUUGGAGGGGAUGGCGGCGGCGGCGGUGAAGGCGGUGGAGACCGGGGCGGCGGCGGUGAAGGCGGCGGCGGCGAAGGCGGUGGAGACCGGGGCGGUGGCGGUGAAGGCGGCGGCGGCGAAGGCGGUGGAGACCGGGGCGGCGGCGGUGAAGGCGGUGGAGACCGGGGCGGCGGCGGUGAAGGCGGCGGCGGCGAAGGCGGUGGAGACCGGGGCGGUGGCGGUGAAGGCGGCGGCGGUGAAGGCGGUGGAGACCGGGGCGGUGGCGGUGAAGGCGGUGAAGACCGUGGCGGAGGUGGUGGCGACGGAGGAGGUGAUUUUACUUGGGGCGGCGAUGGCCUAGGUGGCGGUGGCUUCGGGGAAGGUGGCGGUGGCUUGGAUGGAGGUCGCGGCGGGGGCGGCCGCGGUGGCGGAGAUAAGGCCCGCAACCGACGUGUAGAGCUUGUAAGCGUGUGCGCCCUCAGAUGAAGAGAUUCUUCAGCGCUUUGGCCACUUUGAGCGGCAUCAGCAGCCUGUUGCGACGCGGCGGAGGCCCACCACGCGACAAGUAAAGCUUUCGGUGCCUCAACAAGUAGCAGUAGAUACAUUAUUCCUAUUUCCAUGCAUAGUCCUGGCUCUCUAAUUUCAUUAUUUUUUAUGCUCUCUGCCUGUUUGAAAAGAGACGAAAAUGCGCACCUUGGUAAUUAUAGGGCU